ACCCGGCUUCUGUCUGUCCAGCCUGCCCGUGCGCGCCCGCUCGCACCUCCGCGCCGGCCCGGGCACCCCCGCACCCCUCUGCGCGCGCACCCUCGCCGGGGCGUCCGGGCCCGCGUGCAGCGCCUGGGAGGGCGCCCCCGGGAGGCCCCCGCGCGGUGGCCGGGCGCACGGGCGCGCGUGCGCGGGCGGGGCGACGCGGGGGCGGGGCGGGGGGCGCAGGGCAGCGGGCGGGACUGGCGGGGCUCGGGGGUUGGAUCCCGCUACCAGCUGGCCUGGCGGCCGGGGUCAUGCCCUUCGCUGUGCGGUCGCUGAGAUCGGAGGUGCGACCUCUCCCCUAGGGGGUGUGUCUGUGGAAAGCCUCGCUCGGCUCUGCGUGGGAGCGACACUGUGGAGCCCGGAUCGCCAGGGCUUCCUCCGGGAGCUGGGAGGUCGCGCGGCCGUCUUCCCCUGAUGGGUGUGACCCCGGUGUCUGCAUCCCGCUGGUGACAGUGUUGAAGAACUGUGGCUGAAGUCCAGAGGGAAGGUGGCUUCAAGGCUGCUGGCAGGCCUCCAGGGAUAUUCCACAGUCCUCCCUGAUGCAUGUGAAAUGAUGACUGACAACCUGUUGCUAAAGAACAGUUUGAACUUCCCUGACAGUCUUGGGUCUGUGGGGAUGGAAACCAGAACCAAUUGGCAGGGAGGGAAGGGCAGGGCCACACCUGCCCCUGUCUGUCUGCUAAGAACAAUUGCAGCCUGGGAGGAGACAAAGACAUUUUUAAAAGGACCCUUCUCCUGCAUUAUUGAAGCCCUGAGUGUUUGAGCAUACAAAUGUUUUAUGGUAUCAAGAUAAAUAUUUUAAUGUAUAUUCCACAAUUGAUAAUUCUUCAGUUUAAUAAUGUAACAGAUAUAUAGACGAAGAAAUGCCUGGAGCUGUAAGAGAAAUGGCUGGAUAUUAGAAAUAGCCUUAUAAUAAUUUUAAAAGUGAGUAAUGGAUUUAAAAACUUGAGAGUAUUAAUCAUCUAGCUGUAUAAAAUAAUGGUCACUGGAGUUUUGAAUUAAAAAGACUGUAUAUUUAACAUCUUUGGUUAAAAAGGAGGAAUUCUUAGUAAACUCACAAGAGAAUUGUAUGUUUCUCAAUUUACUCAAAAAGUGUCUGGGCAAAGAUUCUGAGCAUUAGAUUUCUAUAAGGUCUAGAGUUUUUAAUUUUAAAAAACAUUUUAGUGAAAGUAUAUUCAAUGAUACAGUAGGUGUGCUUGCUACUAUGGGGUGACAAAAUGUGGAAGUAAGUCAGGAUUACAGUCAUGUCAGCUUGGGUUCUUCUUACUAACCGCUGUGGCCAAACCUUAAAACCCUUUGCUGAUGUAAAGGGAUGUAAAUUAUUUGGCGUUGGCAGUGGUGCCUUUAUGCCCUUUCAUUUCGUGUUGUUGAAACACUGUCUCUCAGCUGCAGAUGCUCAUUAGGAACACUGCCUUUUGAUGCUGGUGCGGGUGCCAAAUGGUGCCUUCCAGACUGUUUCAAUCCGCGGCACUUACAGUGCUCUGAGGCCAUGUCUACACCUGGCCACUGGGUCUGCUGAAUUUCAGCUGGGUUGACACACCUGUGCCCUUCCUGCAAUAUUAGUGUAGCUUCUGAACAGUCAGGAACGUAAAGAGGACUGGGCUAAAAGAUUUGUCUUGUGUAUGUGUGUUUUUGAAAAAAAGCUUUUAAUGAACCUGUUGCGUAUUCUUUACCUUCCAAACGUGUAAUAUUUUCUUGAAUUCAAAGAUUGUGGCUAAUGACCUGUAUUCUGCGACAUACUCUCAAUGAAUCUAUUUUGAUUUGUAGCUGCAAACAUUGGCAACAUCUGGGCUGCCCUUUCUAUGUCUUCCUGAGAUAAUGCAUAAAAAGCCUUUUGUUGCAUGUGAUUCUCUUCUUUUGGUUUCUGAUUACCUCACCAUUUAGGAGUCGUCACAGUAAUGCCACAUUGUUUGAGAUUGUGUUACAUGAGGCAUUCUCUUAAAAUAGUUGAUCGAAUAUGUUUAUUGAGUGCCAGCUUUUAAUCAUCAGCUCUGUGGGUGUCACAAGGAUGAGAUGACAUAGUUGCUUCUGUCAGGGAACCCUGGUUGUCGUGGAACACGGAGAUUAAGAAGUAUACAAUCCUAGGGGCUGGGGAUUUAGCUCAGCGGCAUAAGCACCUGCCUUGCAAGCAGGCAGUCGUGAGUUCAAUCCCCGGUACCGAUAAAAAGGAAAAAGACAAAAAAAAAAAAGAAAAAAAAAAAAAAGAAGUAUACAAUCCUGGGGUGAAGCACUCGCCAUAUCCCUUACUGACUGUUACAUCUUGGACAAGUUAUUGACUCCAGUUGGGGAGAAAUCAGUGAUGCCUACUUUGUAGAGUUUAUAUGAUAGUUUUAGAGACCACAAAAUUUCAAGGUGUGCAAUGUUCCACUAUAUGAAGAAGUAUGUAUAUGAAUCCAGAAAAAAAUAAUUGUUUAGACGUAGUGCUCUCCUUCUGGAAGGAUUUAUGAAAGGAUAUUAUGAGACUAUGAAGUCUUCAGUGAUUAGAACCAGACCUAAGAAAUCGGUUGCUAAAUGUGUGUGUACCAUUGUGUUGGUGGUCAAUACUUUAGAAGGAAGAAUGGUUUGUUUACAACAUUGAAAGCUAUUAGUAAAAGGAUGCAUCAAGGUUUAAUGGAUCCUGGGGAGCAUGCAAUUUUGAGGGAUUUCUUUAAGGGAAAUUCAAAACUCUCUGGCUUUGGCAAAAAACUUUCAAAAAGCACAUAAUCAGGAGAACACAUCGGAGGCCCCCAUAGCCCAUCGCUGAGCAGCCUUGAAAGACCCCACUUGGCUUUUGCAGCUCUGCUUCUGGAUCCAUUUGCUUGAGAAUAUAGGCUAAUUGUCCCAGUUUGCUAAACAUGGACUUGGUGAUAGUUACUUGUAUAGUGCUUGGAGGACUAGAAUAAUGAAUCAAAAUCAAGAGUUAUUUUUUUUUAAAAAUGAGCUCUUUAAUGCUCAUUUUCCAGAACAGUCCUAAAUGAGAUCUGAGGUGUUUCGCUAUUUGCUGAUAUUUUUGUAAAUUACUAACCAGAAUAAAAUAGUAGUUGCUAUUAUUAUUCAAAUGAGUCAGGCAUAAGUGCCAUUCUCUAGGACCAGGAAGUUUUGCCAGCCAAAACCAAAAGAUAUUAGAUAAGAGAAUGAAGGUUUAACAGCAGAUAAACAGGUUAUAUAAUACCAAUAAUUAUAUCUUAAUGACCACUGUGUGGUUUAUGGAGCUAUGAUAUCAGUUAGUUUCCUGUCACCUAUUCAGUAAACAUUUAGUUACAUCUGCUCUGUGCCAGUAACUGGGAAUGGACUGGUCACUAAGAAUACAACAUCUGUUUCCAUGAAGCCUCCAGUCUAGCACUGUACAGAAAUACAGCCGUUAAACACGCCAAGCACACACAGUCGUAAUGACAUACUUAGUUUAAAACUAAGGCAGGGAAGAGGGUACUUUGAGAGUUUGUUAGGGUGAAGCCCACUUUCCACUGGUGGUUGGGGAGGGGAGGAAGAAACAUUUAAACAAGUGUCGAAUAGGAAGGACAGGUGAUACUCUUAUUUUAAGUGAUUUACUCCUAGGCUCAGCAAACAUUAAAUGACAGCAAACAUUCCUGGUUUUCUUACCUCAAGAAACCUUGAAUGAACCUUGAAUGACCCUUUCCCUGGAGAAGGUAAUUUAGCUUCAAUCAUUGUGCCGGGGUUCGAAUUAUAUAGCCCAAGAAGAAAUGCCCCUGUCUCCACAGGCGUGUUAUAGUUACAAACAGAGGCAGAACUUAAACACUGCUGGAUCACAAGACAGGAAGAAAUCAACUAUUUGUGAGACUCCCUGGAGCUGGGCUUUGGAGAUGAGUUUGCUUUUGCAAGACGGACAGGUGAAGGUGAUUCUGUCAGAGCAGGUUCACUGAGCAGAAUAUUUACCCAGGUUUGAGGAGCAGGGCUCCCUGAGGCGGAGGGAGAGCAGGAGAAACAGCGCUGGAAGGCCAGAUUGUGUAGGUCUUGAAGCAGAAAUUGAGGCUGAGAAAAGUGAAGGGUUACAGUAGGUGAUCUGGGACCGUGACUUACACGAGGUGGCUGCACCUAGCAUCGGGAAAUGUGCCAACAGAUGGGCUCCUGUACCUUCUGCACAGACGUGAGCCUGACCAAAGUAGGGAGAGAGCAUCUUGCAGGAGGAAUGUAACUCAGAUAUUUGGAAUCUCAAGUGUGUACUGGCCAUGCUGGUACUCUGCAGGUUGUUUCUCUCUGAACCUGUUUCCCAUCUGGAAAAUAGCGUUCAUGACACCUUCCUCCAUGGGAUUUGGUAAAUUUAAAUAAAAUAACAUGAGAAGCAGAUAAACUGUAGGCACCCAGUGGGUGCUUAUAAUAAAUUCAUCUUGUUAUAAUCUUGGCAUUCUGGAAGGCUAAAGCAGGAGGAUUGCAAGUUGAAGCCCAGCCUAGACAACUUAGCAAGAUCUUGUCUCAAUAUAAGAAUUUAAAAACUAAAAAGAAAAAAAUACUGGGGAUGUAGUUCAAUGUGAAGCCCCUGAGUUUAGUCCCCUAGUUCUGGGGAAAAAAGAUUCGUCUUCAAUAGAGAUUUUUAAAAAAAUGUUUGUUAAAAGGUGCCUGGGGAAUAAGACAUCUAAGAUUCUGAAUUCUGAGCUAGAGGAUGAGAGUGGAAACAGAAGAAAUUUAAAAACCCUGUAGUAGCCCCGCAGAAGCUUUUCCAUGGUUGGGGAGAAAGUUUUUUUCCCAACAGUUAAGAAAUCUCCUACUCUCCCUUCCCCCCAAAAGAAAAAAAAUCGUGAAAGUCGGUAAUGAAUAAGAGUUUUAAAAAGGAGUCAAGCAGCAGUUCUGAGAUUAGCCUAGGGAUGCAGAAGUCACUUUGGGUGGGUUUAAUGUCUGAAUAAGGUGCAGAAAAUGUUUGAGCUAGGCCUGCAGAGACUUGGGGUACCUGGGUCAAGGAGGACCUGUUUCCCCAGAGGAGAUGGACUAGCUAAGAAUGAGCUCUGAGAAGCACUAAAGGCUGGGUUUUUGGGCAGCCAUGUUAACAUUUUAAAUAUUAGGAGAUGGGUGCUGUUAAGACAUUAGGAAGUCAUGUUUAAAAACAUUCAAGGGGGUGGUCAGUCAUAGCAGCUGAGCACGUGACUGAGCAGGCUGUUUCUGAGACCAGCUGUGAGUUAGCAGAUGGAGUAAGUAGGGGUCACUGUGUACUUAAUGGGCAUUUUGGUAAUAUGUAGCGUCCACCAUAGUAGCUGGACAGAAUAGAGGGUGAACGAAAGGAUUCUUUCGCUGUGUGAAAGACGGAGACUAGAGGAUGCGAGAAGGGGAGCCAGUUAAGUCCUAGGAGAGAACCUGCUCUAUGUCCUAGGAAGACUGGUGGUGAGGAACGGGUACUCUUGGGCUUUACAGUCGAAAGAUCUGGAUUUGAGAUUUGGCUCUGCUUCUAACUAAGUGAAUUUAUAUAUACUCUCUUUGAACUGCAACAUUCUUAUUUGAAAAGGAGAACACAAUAAGAGAAUAUAUGUGAAAGGCAUUGCAAAUUAAAAGAUUUUACUUGUACCUUAUUAAUAGACAGGUAGCUGAACAGUUUUAUGGAAUUCAGAUUUUGUGUACCAGAAGGACUUUUAGGAACAACUGUGAUGGAUAUUAUCAAGCAGAUAAUUUGGGAAUUAGGCACUUCUGAUGACUGUGGAUAUGGAUAAAAUGGACACAGAUGAGAUGUUAGAGAUGGGGAACAGCCAGUGAGGGGAGAUGGCAGAUCCGAAGUGGAAGAUGCAGGAGAGAGAAAGAUUAACUUGCAAACUUAGUAGGACAAAAUAAUCGCGCUGCUGUCAUAUGAUGGGGAAAUUAAGAGACAGGUUGUAGAAAAAUUUGGACAUACUAAUAUCUUAAUUUAUAGAUCUGUAUUUCCUAAACUGUGUCUGAUUAAAUCAUUUUAGUUGAAUUCUACAUAUGUUAGAAAAAAAGAGGAAGAAAAAAGGAAGUAAAAAGAAAGACGGAAGAAAACAAAAAAAUGGAGGGAUGAAAGGAGGAAGGCAUAGAGUGAGACGGAACAGAAUAGAAAGGAGUGUGUUUUUAAUACAGCGAGGGUAAAUGUGUUUUGAAAAGCUUGUUUCAGUCUGUGCGUGCGUGUAACACAUUACCCAGUUAUGAUGGAGAGUGUUACACGACUCAGAUCAGAAGAAUUUGACAGCUGCUGUCAUAGAAGUGAGAAUACAGGGCUGAGGAGAGGACGAGGGAGUCUCUAGUACAGAAAGUGUUCGAGAGCGUGGACAGCAUGGACGGUACUGAGGAGGGGAGCAGUGACAGCAGAAACACCGUGUAGCUGCUAAGCAGUCUGUUAGCUGCCUGAAGGUAUUAAAAAACCCAAAUAAACAACAAAAAAGAAGGUGAAAUUCUAACUCUGCAUUAUUAACCUUAGAAAUGAAAAGGUAACUGCCCCAGAUAACACACAGAGCAAAAGAGGACUUAACACGUCAUUGGCAAUGUAAAGACUGCUAGAAAUAAGGGGGGCUGGAGAGCUCUUGCCAGUGGAAGUCAGAGCAGAAACUUGAAGGAAGGCUUUAGCUCUGCAGAGGAUAACGAUGUGUGAGACAGACACACAGUGGUGGGUGUUGGGAGGUGGCUGGAGGGAGCCCAGCCCAGAAGACUAAGGCUCAGAGGUAGUUUUGGAUUCUUUCAAUAAAGAGAGAGCAUCAAAAAUUAAAGCCAGUACUUUUCAGAUACAGUUUCAUACCCAGAAGUGUUUAUGUCUUCAUAAUUGUGUUGCAUACAGAAUGGUGUGUUGCCUAUUAUUAGAAGGUAGCAUUGAACAAAUAAAGGGAACCAGAGCUUAGUGGCAUGAACAGUGAGGUUAGAAAACUGCAAUAAUGUGAAACGAACAAAAGCUUGAAACAAAUACUUUAUGUAGGUACAAUUUUAUUAAAAAGCACGUCUUUCACUGUAGCCCAUCCCCAAGCCUGGAAGACAGCAGCUUACAUUUUAUGUUGUCUGAGUUUUCUAUGAGAACAGACUGCUUUAUACUCAAGUUGUAAAACAGGGAUAGCAGUGCUUGUGUGGGAAAGAGUGUCAGGAAGGUGAGCCUCAGGAGGAAGCUGGAUUCCUUUCCCAGGAGCGCGGUUACUGGUCAGCUCAGGAGUGAAAUUCGGGUUCUGAGGAGUCAAAGGCUGAGGAAGGGCUGAUGUCCACGGCAGGCAGCUGCCAGGACGGAUGGAAAGGAUGCUCCGCGGGGUGAAGGCUUCAGCUGAGGCUUCACGCAUGGCAGGCGGAGCCAGGGAGGGGACAAGUGAUGAAAACCAUUGCUAAGGAUGACACUACAGAUUCAUGUGUUGGGAAAUUAAUCAGAUUAAGGGCUCCCCACCCAGUGACUAUGUUUACAAUGUGGGAAGAUAAUUUCCAAUACAUUUUUGUUUUCUUGAAUCAGUGGCCAUGAUACUUGUGCUUUUAAAGAGUCUUUGUAAUUGUAUAUAGCAGUCUUCUAAUGCUUGUGCUUGUCACAGAUUGAAUGUAUUAUUUUUAUCAGAUCAAGAGUGGAAGGGGUUGACACUGACUACUUUUUAAAAUACUCUCUCAUUCGUACUUUGUUUGCAAGCACCGACUUUGUUUACACGAGAUGCUGCCAAUCACUAGUUAAAUCAGAAUUACUCUAGGAGAAUUUGAUUCAUGGUACACUCUAGCAGGCUUAAAGAUAUGUUAUCAUGGGCAUGAGAAGAUGUAAGUCUGUGCAGGCUCUUUGAUUCGAGUUGAUAAUUAUCUCUCUUAAGUAUUUCCUUUUAGUGUUGAGGAGGCAGUGUGUAAUGUCAACAUUAUCCCGUAGUCUUUUGGUAUAAACCCUGCAUUUUGGACCAUGAUUCCCCUGCUAUUCAUGACCUUGAGCCAGUUACUUAAUUUCUCCAAUGCUCAGCUUAUGAUGUGAAACAAAAACAAUAAAACCCACCUAAUAGUGUUAUUAGAAGGACAAAGUGAGGUAAUUUAUACAACUGUCUGGAACAUAGUGAGCUCAGUAAUUUUUCUCACUUUUUGCUAAACCUCACAGCAGAGACACACACAAUUAGUGUUGGCCCACUGUGGUCUAGAAACCUGUGUCCUUCAGUGCGGAGAAAUGUUCCCAUAUUAUUCACUUAAUAUUUUCUCUGUUGUUUCAUCUUGGGCUUUAUGAAAUUCCUAACCAGAAAUUGGAAUGAUAAUUUGAUUUUUCUUUAUACUUACUUUCUGAGACUUUUGUAGGCUUUUUCCAAUUUUACUGUUGAAUUUUCUAUUUUGAUAAAAUUUUUAAGAGCUCUUCAUGAUUGUCUGAAUGCCUCUUUCGUAGCUUUCUCUUUUUUUUUUUCUUGUUUUCUUGUUGGAUUACCUUUCAUAUUGCUGAGAAUUUUAAACUUCCCUUACUUCUUGUAUUGUGUAUUCUUGUAUUUUUUUCUCCUCUCUUGCAUUCCUCUUAUGUUUUAGUAUCUCUUUUCAUCUUUUGGAUUGUUUGAUUUCAUGCCUCAAACGCUAACGCUCCUUGGCUGCCAUCAGUAUUUCUGAGGGACAUGCUGAGAGGCUGUGGGCAGCUCUGUGGGUGGACUUCACUCGGCAGCGUGACUGUGUGAGACUUGGGCUGUUGUGUGGGGAGCGUCCACAUCCAUUCACUAGUCUGUAUGUUUUCUUUUGGGUGGUCAGUUUAAGAGAGAUCAACAUUGUGCAGCCUGGAGAAUGCCAGCCUGACUAUUUUUCUCUGAGUGAAAGAAAACUUUUUCAGAAGUAGGAUUUCCUUCAUUCCCCUUAUUUUCAGUAAGCUGCGUCUGACGUCAGCAGUGACUGUUGUUCUUUAUGGUUCAACCUCUCCAGUUUAAAAAAAAAAUCCAAUCUUCUGUUUGGAUGAAGGAGGAUGAGAGAAGAGAUACCUGUAAGCUAUCCUUUGGUAGCUUAUAGUUUGUGUGAUCACACAUCUUUGUGUGUGCGUGUGUGUGCGCGCGCGCAUCCGUGUGUGUGUGUGUGUGUGUGUGUGUGUGUGUGUGUGUGUGUGUGUGUGACUGUGAAGUUGAAGCAAGUGUUAACUCUCAUUUUGGAGCAGACCAGGAUCUAUGGACUGCCUAUCUCUUUGAGGGCUUGUAAUUGCUACAAGACACAUUAGACUUUCGAAAUCUUUUAUCUCAUAUAUUUUAGUGUAAAAUUGUUGAGAGAAGAGUUCUGAACGGAAAAAGUAAAUGCUCUAGGGGUUCAUCAAAGGCGAAAACCUAAAAAGAAGCCUGUCAAGGCAACUUGAAGAGCUCGACGGUUCAAAGAGUUUAAGGACAAUCAAUGAUUUUUAAAGACGCUUUUCCAAAUUUAGAGUUCUCAAAAGAUUCCAGAGUUUCUUGAACUUAAAGAGUGGUGGGUAGAGCAGUUUCAUGAAUAUUUUUGCAAAUGGCCAUGUCCUACACUUGUGGGGCCGUAGGAUGUUUACUAGAAACAUUCAGUUAGUUCAGCAUUUAUAAAUUAACACCUACAUUCCAUAUAGUUGACUAAAGAGUUGGAGGUGAAAGGUGAAUGCAUUCAGCAGCUUUGUAAACAAUUCUAGACCACAUUCUAAACUGGUUUUGGUUGCAUUUGUAAUAUUUACUCCUCCGGAAUGGCACCCAAGGUCACCUUGAAAAGGUAACUAAGAGUUAUUUAUACCUUUCUCAGAUUUCCUUCUAUGUAUGUUGCUCAAUUUACUCACGAAGUUUAAAAUUUAAAUUUUUCAUCAAAAAAUCAGCUGUCACAAUGAAGCCAGAAAGGAGACAUUGUGUGACACUCUUCGCAGAUAAGAGAUUGAAAGUAAGUUGGUUAACUACCCUAGAUUACAGUUUGAGGUCAUUCUGAGCUAAAUUGGCUUUGGAAUCAGAAUUUAAAUUACCAGUCAAACUCAAUUAAGAUAACUGGACACGAAGGCAAUUCAUUUGCUUCCUCACACAAAGAAUAUUUUUAUUGUUUGUACUUCACAGCCAAGUUAGAGUCUAAGCACUGUUUUUUACAAGAGGACAUUUCACAUAGUGAUUGACUGAGGUGAUUGGGCGUAGGUCUGUAUCUAAAUAAGGAACCUGUGAAAUCACUUAUUUGAUUUUUCUAGGGAUGUUUAGAGUAGGUACUUUUGAAGUCACUAGGAGGUAAAUCAAUACAUUACAUUGAGCAAUAUUUUUGCUGUCUUGUGCAAUAAUAGUAUAUCUAUUACAAACAAACCUGGGACAGUUAAAUGGUUUUAAUAAUAAAAUAAAUAUAGUUGGAGAUAUUUUAAGAAAAUAUAAAUUAUGCAUAUGUAAUUAUUUUUAUAACUUAUGUAUGCAUUUAUAAGUACUAUACUUUUUGUUUGUGAUCAGUGGGUUUAUGAUUACCUAAUUUAAAAAUUUUCCCCGAGAUUCAAAAUGAUGACUUCAUUGCUAAUUUAGUUUUCACUUUCAUCUUUUUUAUGUUUUAUAAGCUAACAAGUAAAUUAGAUCUUUUCAUUUCUAACUUUCUUAAAUUAGAAAGUUUUCUUAAAUUAGAAAGUUAGAAAUGAAAAGCAUGAAGGAAGAAAACGAUUUAAAUCUGCAAUGAGUUUAGUAGUGUAGAUUGUGCAUCUGAUACUGUCUUGAGAAUACUAGUGUUUUACUGACUUAAGCUACUUGAACACUAGAACAUCCUAGGAAAAAAGUCUUGAAAGAUUCCCUGAUUUCCUUGAGAUGAUGCUAAUGUCUAUUCUAGGACAGUCUAGAACAUUCUAAUAGUGUACAGAUGUUACUGGCUGGUAAAAGUCACAUGUCCUGGAAUUUGGGACUACUGGAAGAAGAUUAAAAAAUAAAAAUAAUUGGUGUUGAUCAACAUAGAUGUAAAAAUAUUUUGCCUGAAAUUCAUUUUGAACUAAUCUCAUUUAUAUUUUGUAUGCUAAAGCCACAUCUGUAUAGACUUUAAGAACAUAUAAAUUAGAUUUUAUGAUAAGUGUACAUUUCUUUCAAAGCUUUGAUAGAUAUCAAGAAUAAAAUUAAAUGCAAUGAGAAACGAUCUUUAAAUGUGCAUAUGUAUGUAAUCUGUUGUAUGAAGGUUCUGAUUUCUUGGUAGCAUUGAACAACUUUUAUUGUUUUAUUGAACAAAUUUUACUUAGUUUUCUAUUAAAACAGACAUUACAAUUAAGUCAUUAUUUUUAUAAAAGUACUUAUAAGUUAGGUGGAUUACUAUUGAAAUGUAACUUCUUGGAAUUUAUAAUCAGUCAUAAAAUUCACAACUUUUCCAAAGGCUUAUGCCAGACAGAUCAUUUAAUAUUUAAAAACAAAGUGCAUUUUCUUAAGUAGAUUGUAUUACUAUUGUUCCCUCCAACUAAGUUUCCUAGACUUGAGAAAAAGUUGAUACAUUGGAACCAACAGUUGACCAUAGAUUUAAAAAUGAUACAAAAGGUUUAAAAAUCUAAAUUAUCAUUGUUUACAAAAUAUUGGCAAAUUAGAGCUAAAGUGCUUGGUGUUAUUGUAUAAUCUACUGUUUAAAAAUAAACAGUGGAAAUAAUUGUAGAAACCCCUGGGUUUAGAAAAGCUUGUUGGUGGUUCUUCACAUCCUACUAAAAAAGCAGGCUGUCUUUGCAUAUUAAUCACUCUGUGAAAGGAAGCUUGCCUUAUUUGCAUUGUGCAUGCACUAAGAAGUCCAAUAGUAUGCCUGAGAAAAAAAAUGGGGGAUUGUAAUUGUUGUUCUCAAAAGGGUUUUUAUUCCAUUCAAGUGGAAAAGCUGAAUGCUGGAGAAUUAGUGCAGUGUUUUGUGGAAGAAGAGUCCCUUUUGGCUCCUCUCUGCAGUAUGUGGCAUGGUCCCUCUGGGUAAGGAAUCUGAACGUUGGGGUGAAAAGGGAAGUGACUUGUCUUUCUAUCAUGCAGUCUAUGUUUUUGUAGACCUCUGUGAUUUUGCAAGCAUUUUCUCCUCGUUAUCUAUCCCAGAAGAGAAGGAAAUUCUGGCAAUAUAUGCAGUAUUAGAAAUCUCCAGAGAAGAAACGAAGAUGGUCCAAGAUUUCUGAAUCUAACUAGCUUAUGCUGGGGGCAUUGCAAACAUGAGGAAUGCACAAUGCAAAAGUAAAAAUACUGUGCACAUUUUUAAGAAAUGAUGAGACUUAGCUAUGACUUGUCCCAAAUUGAUUUUGAAAGAUAUAUUUGAAAUUAUCUUAAUAAUAAUGAUAUCUUAUUCAUUACAUCGUGUUUUAAGACAUUGGUUUUUAUGUAAACAUCAAAAACAGACAGAAGAAAUGUUCUUAAUGUUAUUGAGUCUUUUAAUAAGAUCUUAAAUGAUGAGCUACUUUUAAUAUGUUUAUUCCCCCUGGUAAAACACACCUCAUAAAACUUUGUAUGACUUCUCGCUACUCUAGUUGGCAGAAGCUAAAGCAGUGCAGUUUCCAGAAGCUUGGCACAUGUAUUGGUUAUUUUGCAGGUCCAUUACUCAAAAGUGUUUCAAUAUACUUUACCUGAUUUUAACAUCAUUGAAAACAUCCUUUACAGAAUAUGACAUUUCCAAUUAGACUCAAAUUUUUAUAAGCAAAUGUGCUAUUAUCUGUGUGCAAAUAUUUUAACCAAAUGAUUGGGUGUCAUCAUAGAGACAGGGCUGACCAUUGUUCUUAAUGAUUUUGUUAAAUACGAGAAAGUAGUUAAGGGAGUUAAAAAGGUCGCGUUUCUGGUUUUGCCAAGAGCCACUGGGCUUAGGUGUUUUUGAUUAUUAGUGGAUCUGCUUGUCAUUGCUUACUUUAAAGCUGCACAGAUUUGGUUAUUUGGAAGUUGAACAUAGGUCCCUGGAUAUUGCCAUUUCUAUUUUAUUUGAAUUGCUUCUUGCUAUAGUCAUCUUUGUGGAAAUUGGGUUUAACUCCAGUUUUGGUAUUCUGUAGACCGUUAGUGUGUGUUUGAAUUGCUGUUCUGAAUAGGAGCUGGCAAGAAGUAGUUUGCAAAAGCAGCCUAGUAGACUAGCAGAACACCAGCAAUACCAGCAACAGUAUCAUCAGCGUAAUUUCUGCCAAUCAAAAAAUUAUAAUAGGUUUUGUAAUAAACUCUUUCAAAAUAACAUAACUGAGAUUCUUUGUGUUAUAGACAUGGCAGAACAUUACAACAAAUUUACUCAUAAGCUUAUGAACUUCUAAUCUUGAUUCAUGAAUCAGAGCGACAACCACUCUAUAAAAUAAAAUUAGAGCUCUCAUUGGGCAAGAGCAGAACAGUGGGCUUUGUAAGGUGGGAACAAGGAUACAGAAUGAUGAGGGAGAACGAUGAUUGGAUAGCAUCAGGUUUAUUCAAAUUGCUGUUUCGGUAAGGGUUAAAGUAGAGGGCACGUUCUCACUGACCUGACUCAUGCAGACUGACAUCUUCUGUUUUCAAGAACAGCUCGUCUGUUUUGGAACAAUCUGCUUUUUUAAAGUUUCAGGUUGCUCAUAGGCCAUUUUAUAUGAGUGACUCCAUUUUGGUUUGAUUUUAUCUGUUAGGGCUUUGUGCAUAAGAUCAGUCCAAAAUGAUGGUCUCCUAUAAUUUUUGUGCAAAAGGUAUAUAACUUAGAGUUUACAGUUAAUAGUUUUGAACUUUAUUCUACAAAUGUGGAAUACAGCUGGGCAUGGAGGUCAGUAGAGAGCAUAUGUGCUCAGGGUUCAAUCCUGGUAAUCUUUUUUCCCCAAAUGUGUAUGCGUAAUACAUCACACAUUUUUAGGAUUGUAUAGAUUUCAGAAAUACAAAAAGCUUUUUACCAAAAGAAACAGCUGAUAUUUGAAAAGUGAUCAUUUCCAAACUCAAACAACAAAUUUGACAAAAUGUAACACCUAUUUGUACAAAAGUACUUAACAGACCAGGAGUGGAAAGGAUUUCCUUGACCAGAUAAAGGACAUGUGUGAAAAAUCCAGAGCUACCAUUAAAUAGCCAAUAAUCACAGAGGCCCAGAGAUGCUUCGUCUGCUUAGCCAUCAGGGAACUGGAAGUCAAAGCCACAGUCAGAUACCACGUCACAGUUCUUCAAGAGGGCAGUAAUGAAACGACAGAUGCUGAAAAGUGUUAACAGUGAUUUGGGGAAUUUGGAACCCUUGUAUACUGCUCGUGGGGAGAAAUGGUGCAGCCCUUAUAGAAAAGCCAGAUAGUUCUUAAACGAAUUUGCCAUAUGAACCAGUAGUUCUAUUCUUCCCAGAGAUAAAAACACAAAACUGUGAGCUCUAAUGUUCUUGCAGCAUUGUUAAUAAUAAAACUGGAAAGACUCUGAAUGUCCAUCAGCUGUUGAAAGGACCAAAAAUGUGGGGUAGCCAUACAAUGGAAUAUUAUUUGAAAAUAUAGAGGAAUGAAAUCAUGAUAUGCAUCAUAACAAAUGUGGGCCUUUAUUCUGCUUGUUGGUCUUACAAGAUCCUUCAUUACUUUAGCCAUUUGUUUCCUUGUAGCCUUGAAGUUUUAUUUCAACUCUUGUAUUUAUUAGCAUCAUCCAUUAUUCUUACUAACUUUUAGGUUGUGUGCAUUAUGCUAUUAAGAAGAUAGUAAAAAUAAUUUAUUUGGGUACUCCUGGAAAGCCUGUUGAAGCUGAGCAUAACAGGAUUACCUUUGAACACAAUGAAGAAACACAACACCUGAAAACACUUGUCUUCUAUAAAAGGGAAGACAUUUAUAUCUUUUGACUGGGGUAAAAGUCCCUUCUCUUUUUGUCAACCUAUUACUCAGGGUUGCAGAAUAUAGCACGGAGUCACCCACUCUAUAUAUAGUCAAAUGACUGUGUAUAGUCAUUUGAUUAGAGUUCAAAUUUUAAGUGUCCCUCCAAGGCCCAUAUAUAUGUUAGAGGCUUAGAUUCCAGCAUGGCAAUCAUGGGAGAUGGUAGAACCUUUAAGAGGUGGGUCCUGGUGGGAGGUCGUGAGUCACUGGGGUGGGCUCUCAAAGGGGAUUGGGGGACACUAGCCCCUUUUCUUUGCCUUUCACUUCCUAGCCCAUGAGGUGAUUGGAUUUAUUUUGCCACAUGUUCCUGUCCUAAUGUGUUGUCCCCUGUCACCCUAAAAGAACGUGUCUUCCUGUGUACUGAACCUGGCAAAAUUGAGAGCCUAAAUAAGGUUUUUCUAUUUAUAAGUUGGUUAUCUGAGAUAUUACAGUGAUAUUGAGCUAACACCCCUCUCAAAUACCUCGUAACUUUUACCUGGAACUAUGUACUAUCUUAUUUUGUGUUACUGUGAAUAUCUUCCCCUUGCUGCCACCAUUUUUACAGUUAAGUUUAUCACUCAUUUCUUAUAUAGAGAGGAAGAGAAAUUGAUAUGCUUCCCAAGAUUUUAUAAUCUUUCAUUCGUAAAUUAUAGAUCAAAAAUGUUUGUUUUUGGUUCUGUUCAUUAUAAAUUGGUACAGAAGAUAUAUGGUUGCAUUUUAUUACGCUAAAUGGAUUUGAAAUAUUUUUCUUCUGAGAUUGUAAGUAAAAGAUUACUUAGAUAUUUAUGUGGUGGUUAAUAUGAAUGUGGUUAAGUAAUUCUUCGGUGACAUUUAUUGUGUUUAGCAAACAUUGUGCUUCUUUUUUAGAACAGUGAUAGAAAGUCUAUAAUGGUAGAGGUUUUCACUAAACGAGGAAGAAUUCUUCAUUAGUGGUGUUCAGCUAAAUCAAAGUGCUCCAGAUCACAUAUGGAUUUUACACCAGAAUGCUUUUUGAAGACAUAUGUUUUCCUGCUGCCAUCCCCAGAAUUAUUUGAAGAAGCAAUGGAGCUAAUCCUUCAAAUUCCUAAAUUUCCCAGGGAUUGAUGACCUCUGAAUUUGAAAGAUCUUAGAAACAAAAUUCAUUUAACCUGUUGCUUUACAGCAAAAUUUGCAAACAUUUCUGAUAAGAAUUUGUUUUAGAAAGUAAGGUAUCUCAGACAUAUAGUUGGAGAUAAAGAUCAAAGAUUAUUUGUACUGUAAUGAAAUUAGUUGGCUCCCAUUAGGUAGCUUCCCUAUUUUAGAACAAGUUUAGUAUUUAUUGAAGAAAACACUCCUUGGCCCCUCCAAUAAAAAGUAGUAAAUAGAAGAAAGAAAAAAAUCUGAGUUUUAUGUGCCUUUUCAUCUUUUCAGACGUGCUUAUUUUAUGACACACAGUCCACUCCAAGUCUAUAAUAUGAUUUUUGUUACCUCAAGAGUUUUGUAACUUAUUUUGAUUGGAAAUUGUGAUGCAUUCUCUAUAAGAUGCUAUGUACACGUGGUGAUGCAGCAUAAUCUGGGGAUGUGUCUUAGUUACUUUUUACUAGUUGCUGGGACAAAAUAUCUGACACCCAAAAUGAAGGAAGGAAAGAUUUAUUUCUUACAAUUCUUGUAGGUUUUAGUCCAUACUCAGUUGGCUCCAAGGCAGGCUGGCAUGGCGGGAUUGUAGUUCAUGGCAGCCCCAAACUGCAAGAGAGAGAGAGACACCUUCUUCCUGCCUAUACAUCAUAUCCUGGCUCCACCUCUGGGCGGGUGAAACACCAAUCAGAGCGCUAGACAAUGAACCAAUCACAAACGCUAGAUUUCGUUGAAUUGCAUGAGGCUUGGGGGCCACCCACAUAAGCCAUAACAGGAUGCAAAUCUUAUUUUCUGAAGUUCCUGGAAGAAUGUCUUGUAAAUAAAUUCCCAGGAAUUUCUCAGUUGACUCAGUGUCAUUCUAAGCCCCAUAUAGAUAGCUUCAUUCCUUCCUGUAUUUUAUCUGUUUUAAUGUUUUUGACUGAGAGAUAAUGUUUAAAAGAAGAAUACAUGUUAUUAGGUUAAGUUGCAAAAAGGAUUCUAGUUGGGCAUGUCUGAGGACAGAUUUGGAGGCAGUAGAAAAUAGAGCACUUGGUCUUGAAAAAACUGCAGGUACCCUUGUUCAUCAGUGGGGAAGCUGAGAGGACUUUAGAAACACUGGAGCCUGGGAAUAACUUAGUGAGAGAGUACUUUGUUUGGAAAGUUGGAUGUGUUUCCUUGGUCAUGAAGGUGGGAAACGUUGAGAUCUAGAAGCCUAGAUGAGGCAGGGGUGGGGUUGCAGAGGUUGUGUGAGGUGGUGAGGUUGAAUCUGAAUUCUGAUCAUGAUACUUAAAGGUGGGCACUGUGUAAGGUUUACUACAAACGGAAGAUGGAUGAAGUUGGUGAGUGAUUUGGGUAUGCAAGAAGGGGAGGAAGGGAGAUGUUUUGUAUUUCGGGCUAGGGUCAGAGAAAGAACAAAUGCAACAGAAACGGGGAAAGGGAAGAGGGAGAAUUCUUUUUCCGGUUAUAGUUUGUGUUAGGUGACCUUGAGAUCACGUUGAGGACCUUGAAGCUUGAUAGUUUCCUAGAAACAGGUAUUUAGAAUUUUUAUGAGAGAUAAGAUGAAGAGACAGAUCUGCAGUCAUUAAACACUACAUGGUUCUCAGAGGAUGUCUGAUAUUUAGAGAGAGCAGCAGAAGAGAACAAGGACAAAGCCUAACCAAACAUUCACAUUCUGAAAAUACUUUAGUGUGUGACAGUUACUAAAAAUGGCUACUGAGCUGGACACGGUGGUGCACCCUAUGAUCCCAGCACUUGGGAGACAGAAGCAGGAGACUGCCGUGAGUUUGAGCCUUGGGCUACACAGUGAGUUCAAGGCCUGCCUCAACUACACACCAAGACCCUGCCUCAAAAAAGAAAAAAAAAGCUACUGCAUCACUUCAGCAAAUUACCAUUUUGUGCAAUUUCAAGGAAUUGAAACUAUAAAGCUGUCAUUUUAUAUCCUAUUCUUGCCUUGAAUUCAUAGUAUUUUUUAAAAUUUAUUUACUCUGUCUCUGUUUUAAUGGAGGAACAUUAAACAUUUGCAGUUCACACUAAUUUCUUGUUGAGUUUUUGUAUUUUAAUCCUUGUAGUAAGUGACAUGAUAGAUGAGGGAUUAUGUAACACUAACUGAUUUUAAAUCAUCAAACAUUAAUGCAGUUGUAUUCCAGGAUACAGGGAGACCUUGUAAAUAAGAUUCUUAGAGAGCUACAGAAAAUGACCUUGAGAAAUCAUGAAAUGACAAAAAUUCUAAUUUUUUUCCCAAGUGGACAAAGAAAAUAAAUUCACCCCUGGGGAAGAUUGAGAUACUUAAUACCCAUCCUUGAAAAGUUUUAAGAAUGGAAUUCUAAGCAAUUCAUAUACAAACUCAGAGGAGAGAGCUAGUGUCUAAUGCAGGUUCAUUAAGGACAGGUUAUAUCAGAUUAUAAUUCUCUGCUAGAAUUUCUAGAUGAAAAAUAAAGUUUAUAGUGCUUUUAUCAUGAUAGUUAAAUGAAAAAAUUAAAGCUUAGUGCAUUCUUAGAGGGAAUUUUUUUUCACAUUUUAAGGAUUUGUACUAUGUAUUUUUAUUGAAUAUAUUUAAGUGUACAAUCUAAUAAUUUGAUAUACAUAAUGAAGUAAUAUAAUAUUCAAACAGUUUAAUAUCCCCAUCAUCUCUCAUAACUGCCUUUCUUUUUUUGUGGGAAGGGUAUCUAAAAUUGAUUUGCUUAGCAAAUGCUCUUUUUCUUAAUUACUUUUUUCUCAUUGCUGAGACAAAAAUACCUGAAACCCAAAAUUAAGGAAGGGAAGGUUUAUUUGGCUCCCAGUUUGGGGAGGUUCCAGUCCGUAAUCAGCUGGCUCCAAGACAGAGUGACACAUGGCAGAGGGCAACAGCUCAUGGUGAUGGAAAACAGUGAAAGCAACAAGAGCAAAAAGGGAGGAGUGUGAGAGAGAAGACUCUUUCUGUCCUUCAUGCUGCAUGUAGGCUACCCAUCCUAGCGCUCACACCCGUAAUCCCAGCAUUGGACCGUGAAUCAUCACAAACUCUAGAAGCCCACCUCCGUGACUACAUGAGGCUUUGGGGGAACAUCUAGACACAAGCCAUAACAUUCUUAGAUAUAGUCAUCACGGAGCACAUUAGAUUUGUACACUUAUUUUCCUUACACAAUUUAAACUUUGUACCUUGUGAGCUUUUUCACUAUAUCUUCCCAUUAUUCCACUAAACUUCCUCAAUAUACACCAUUCUACUGUCUGGUUCCAUGUAUUAUUCUUUAAAAAGAUUCUACUUAUGAAACCAUGCAUUAAUUUUAUUUUGUUUGACCAAUUUCAUUUCUCAAAGUGCCUCCCAAGUUUACUUCUGUUGCCAAAAAUAUCCAUAUCUUCUUUUUUAAGGCUCAGUAACAUUCUAUUGUGUUAGUAUACAUAUUAAAAUUUCUUUAUCCGUUUAUCUGUUGAUAGACACUUAGGUGAUUUCCACAUCUUGGCUAUCAUGAAUGCCAGUAUGGUGAACAUAGUGGGUGGUGAUUUCAGUUCCUUUUGGUAUAUACCCACAAGAAGGAUUGUUGGGUCCUAUGCCAAUUCAGAUUUAAUUUCUUUAGGUUUCUGUAUUCUGCUUUUCACAGAGGUUUCACUAAUGUGCUUUCUCACCAACAUCAUACAAUGUCCAUUUCCCCCAACAUAAUGAUUAUUAACUCUUCUCUUUUUGACAAAACCGUACCACAAGGUGUAAUGUGAUAGUAUUUCCUUGAUGAUUGGUGAGGUUGAUUGAACACUUUUUUGUAUACCACUUGACGAUUUUUAUGUCUGUUUGAAGAAAAGUUUAUUCUAGUCCUCUGCUCAUCUGUAAGCUUUUCUUUUGCUAUUAAAUGCAUUGUGUAUUUUGGAUAUUAACUGCUUGUCAGAUUUCUGGUCCGCAAAUAUUUUCUCCCAAUCCACAGGUUUCAUUUUGUUUUGCUGAUUGUUUUCUGUGCUGUGAAGGAGCUUUUUAAUCUGGUAUUAUACCAUUCAUUGAGAUUGCUUUUUGUUAUGGUUUAGUUCUACAGUGUACCACAAAGCAUGGGAAGUUCUGUUUGGAAGGUGAUUGUAUUAUGGGUCAUUAGAGCUGACUUGCUUUUGGGAGGUAGAUAUGGUUGGAAGAGAUGGGUUAUUGGGGGCAUAACCUGGGGUGUGUGUCCCCUUCUCCUCCUGCUUCAUGCUCUGCUCUGGCUGCCAUGAAGUGAGCAGCUUUCAGCUCCAUUCCCUUCCACUGUGCUGCUUCGGCCUGGGACCAGCUGAUCAUGCAACGACUGAAACUGCUAAUAUGCAAGCAAAAAUAACUUCUUCUUCUUCUUCUUUAAAUUGUAGUUGUUGGAUAUAGUGUUCCAACAAUGAGGAUAAUGACUAAGACACUUUCAUGGACUGUGCUUUUGGUGGCUUACCAAACAAAACAAAGCAAAACAAAACAAAACACAAAAAGAAAAAUACCUGAAAUCUGGAGCUUCUCUCCUGUUUUAUUCUGGGAGUUUAGGAUUGGAGGUUUUACUUUUACAUCUUUAACCCACUCUAAGUUGAUUUUUAUGAAUAGUGUAAGAUACAGAUUCAAUCGAUUCUUCUGCAUGUGGCUGUCUAGAUUUCCAAGGUCAUUUACUGAAGAGAUUAUUCUUUCCCCUGUUACGUCUUCUUUAUGCCUUUGUUGAAAAUUAAUUGACUAUCUUUGGGUUUGUUUCUGAGUCUCUUAAUAUCGAGUGUCCUUUAACAAAUUAUUGUAGUAAUAAUUAUUUUUAGUAGUCUUGUAUUUUAACUUUUAUUUUAGAAAUAAAAGUAACUUAUACACCAUCAUUACUGUGAGAGUACUCUGAAUUUGACUGUAUAUUUACUGUUACCAUUGAAUUUUUAAAUUUUAAAUGUUAAUUCAUAUCAUUUCAUUUCCUUAACAGCUUCUGAAAGGCAGGGUCUGGUGAUGAUGAAGCCCUUUGUCUUUUGUCUGGGAAUGUCUUUAUCCCUGUGUUAUUGUAGAGCACAGCUUUGCUGGGUACUGUGUGCUUGGCUGAUCUUUUCUCUUUCAGGACUUUAAAAUUAUCACCCAGUCCCUGGUUGGUUUAGAUGUUUGUGUUGAAAAGUCUGUGGAUCCUUUUGUGGGGUUCGUUGAUACACAAUGAGUCUCUUAUCUUUUGCUGCUUUUAAAAUUCUCUGUUUUUGACUUUUGACAGUUUGGUUAUAGUGCACCUUGCAAAAUUCUUCAGGUUGAUCUAUCUUGGGAUAUUUUUAGUAAUAUGAUUCCUAAUGUUUGUGUCUUCCCAAGAUUGAGAAAUUUUUAGCCAGUAUUUCUUUAAUUUAGGCUUUUGUUUCUCUCUGUUUCUCUUUUAUUUUCUGAAACUCCCAUAAUUUGCAUAUUCAUAUUCAUAUUCAUGAUAAUGUCUCAUUGAUCCUUCAUGUUUUCUUUAGUGUUUUCCAGUCUCUUGUUUUGUUUGUUCAACUAAUUGGCUAAUUUCAAACGAUCCACCUUCAUGUUUGAUAAUUCUUCUGCGUUAUCAAGAUUACUGUUGAAGUUUUCUAUUACAUUUUUCAGAUCUAUCAUUAUUUCCUUUAGCUUAGGUUAUCUGCUUGGUUCUUUUUUAUAGCUGCUAUAAUUUUUAAUUGAGCUACUUUCAUUCAUACCUUCUUUUUCCAAUUCUAUUAGUUGUGUAUUUUUCCCUUCUUAUAUCUCAUUGAGCUUCUGUAAGGUGAUUAUUUUGAAUGCUUUUUCAGGCAUUUUGUAGGUCUUUACUGUUUUGGUUGCUGCAAACUUUUUAGGCUCUUUUGGUGGUACCAUGUUUGCCUAAUUUUGAGUUACCUAUGCAGCCUUAUUUAGAUGUUUGUGCAUCUGAAGUACCUCUUAUAGUUUUUAGAUGCUCUUUGAUGGCUUCUCCAUUAGGUUGAGGCCAAUGGAAUUGCUUCUGAACCACAGUUGAGUGGGGUUGGAGCCGAGUCAUGCAGCUUCUGGCAUAUCCUUAGAGAGCUGCUCAGCUCCAGGCCUCCUUCCACGGGCUCCACUGGACAUGGAUUCAGUUGGGCCCCAGGUGAAUUAUAUGGUCUCAAGUACCCUUAGAUUGGUACUGGGAUGGAGGUUGGCUUAAGGGUCUUCACACAGUGAGCUUUUUCCAUUUGCAGAUGAAUGUGCAUGCUGAGUAUGAAGGCUGGGUUCCUGAGUGGGCUUCUGGGUAGGCAUAAUUUUGUUCUGGUCAGUGAUGGAGAAAGGCUAGGAGAGAGAGGGAUGUUCCAGGUUCUGUGGCUGUAACUGAGGUAAGGCAGGCCUACCGAGGUGACUCUGCUCCUGUGUUUUGUACCAUUGGAAGGAUGAAACUCUGAACACUGCUAGCAAGAACUCCCAAGGACUUUAUAUUCUACAGUCAGCACCAAGGAAGGCAUCAGGGGUGUAACUCCUCGAGCUCCCAGGAGGAUGGUUCUGAUAAUAGGACCAAGAACAAGCCAGGCUGUGUCUGAGUCCACAGGGAAUGUGAGCCAGUGGUGACUGCUCUAUGGUCUGUGAGCCCAUUGCCUGGGCACAGUUUUGCCUUCUCAGAAGGCCUUCCUAUGUCUUGGACUAUACUGAGGUUUUGCAAUCUCUUACCUGCAUCUUAAAGCUCUCAAAAAGGUACAUUUGCCUGUGGUUGGCUGUGAAGUUCCUGUGUUGUAGGGAAGAUUCUGGUGGGACCAUGCUAUUUGGCCAGCUUACCCUCUUAUGUUUCCUUGUUCCACUUUUGAGUCGGUAUUUUAGUUAGAAAGUCACAUAGGUGACACAGAUUGGAAUCAAGGUUAAUCCAGUGUCUUGGAUUAAGUGUCAAGGUUAAGCAGUGUCUUGGUUUCUUUUCUCAUGUUGCUGAUACAAAAUACCUGACACCCAAAAUGAGGAAAGGAAAGGUUUAUUUAGCUUACAGUUUUUGGAGGUUUCAGCCCAUACUCAGCUGGUUCCAAGGCAGGGUGACUAAAGGGCAGCUAUUUAUGGCAGCCACAAGCCACAGAGGGCCAGGGGCAAAAGGGAAGGAACACUCCUUCCCUCCCUUAGAUUGCAUGCCAGCUGCCCACCCGGGCAGGUGUAGGAAUCACACUUGUCGGCCCUCGUAGUACACAGUGAACCAGACAAACACUAGAGGCAGCUGCCUCCAUGACUCCAUGAGGCUUUGGGGGGACAACCAGACACAAACCAUGACAGGCAGCAAUAUCUCAGUAAACUGGAUUAAUGAGCCAAAUUUAACAUGAUGUAAUUUCACAGGAAUAAAAGCCAAAUUCACACCUAAAGCCUAAAAUGUGUCACAGCAUUCUCUUCUAUCUUUCCUCGUUUCUUUUCACAACCUUGAGCAGAGUUAAUUACUCCGUUUUGUGUCCCAUCAUUAGCACCAUAAUCUUACUGGAGCUUUUUCACACUGCACUGUUAUGUUCUGGAAUACUCCACCCGGCACUGUCAACAGCCCAGGACUGGGUCAGUCCCUUGUUAUUUCCUCACUGUGUUCUCCCCACACAUAUGUGAGGGAUCAGACACAGAUGAUCACAUAUUUUAUGAUUCUGUUUUUCUUUUCUCUGGUGUUGAGGAACAAACUCAGGGGCUUGAAAAUGCGAGGCAAGUGCUCUACCCCUGGGUUACCCCCUCCUCCAAGACAUAACUGAUUGCAUCAAACAAUUUAGUGGCAGCACCUUGGACAAGCUUUAGCAUCCUCACUUGGGGCAAAUGGCUUGAAUGUUAGAACUGAUGUGAUUCCCCAUAUCAAGAUGUUAAUAGUUAUGAACGAGUCAUGUCCAGUAGCUGGUCCUUCGCUACUAACCAGCAAGUGAGAUGAAAAGGAAAAAGCCACAGAACUAAAACAGAGAAACAAAAAUGACUACAGUGGGCAGGUAUAUUAGAGUUUAUUGAAUGUACCUGAACUCUUUGAUAGAUAAGAAAUGAAAGGAGGUGACCUUGCCAGGUCCACAAAGACACUCACUCUUUGCACUGGGACUCAAAACUUAAUUUUACUCUCACUGUGAAUAUUUUUAUAUUUUAUUUAUAUGAAAAAAACUUUGUCAGUAACAUGAGACAUAUUUCAUAUUGUCAUCAGUUAGUAAUUAUGCAUGAUAAAAGAUUUUAUGAUUAGCACUAUUGUCUAUAAAAGCUGAUACAGUAAUGUAAGUUUUCAUUUGUUUUCAUAAGUUUUCAUAAUGAGGAGUUCAAUCAUUUACCUCUGUUGCCUCAUUUAUAGAAGUUUUAAAGGAAAAGUACUCAUUUUCUUUAACUUUAUUAAGUCUUUAAGGCAUUAAGUAUAUUUCAGUGUUAUUUUAGUGUCAAAACAUCUUUUAUGUAAACCGUUGUUAUUUGACUAUCUUGGGAGUAGGGUGGGGAGGGAGCAGUGUAGAAAUCUGGAAGGGAAGGUUGUGAGGGGCAGAGGCAUCCUCUGUAUUCUUGGAUGACCACUGCUACCUCUUAAAGGCAUCAUUUCUUAAGGACACCUUUUUCUCCAUCUGAAAGUUUUUUAAAAAUAUACUUUUCAAUCAAAACUGGUAAAAAUUGUUACAAACUAUGGUGCAAGUGAGUUUAUAAUCAUAAGCACAAAUUCCAUGGUGACGUCUUCCAUCUGUACAAAGAACUAGUUUUAUAUCAUCUGUGCAUUUUUGUGGAUGAUUGCUACAAUACUGUUAAUAUAUUUUUGCAUUUUAAUUUUUAAUUAUUUGAAAAGGUAACAGUCACAUGGUGAAGAUGAAAAGUACAAAAAUAUGUACAGUGAAAAAUUUCCUCAAAGCAUAAAAAGCUUUUCACAUUUAUUUAUGUCUUCUAGAAAAUUCUUUAUUUGAUACAUAAACCCAUACAAAAAUAUUUUCCACUUUUUAUAUGAAAAUGUAUACUGCUGUUACUUAUCAACUUUAGUUAUUAUUUAUUGAUUUCUUUAUUCUUUUCUUUUGUACUGGGAAUCAAACUCAGAGCCUCGCACUUGCCAGGCAGGUGCGUAUGCUGUUGAACUGAGCAAGCUCCCCGGCUUAUCGAUGUAUUAUUAUUUGCUAAACUCCCAUUGCUCAUAACUAUUCUGGUGCUUUUUAGAAUUCCUCUGUGAUUUAAGUUUUUUACUAUAUGCCACUGAUAGUUUUCUUUUUGUGUCAUCAACUCUAGAUGACAGCUCUUGAUUCCUCAUUUUGUAAAAUAUGAUUGAUAGUAGCCCUUCCUUUUAUGUUCUUCCAAUUUAUAAUAUCUUUUUAUAAUUUUUGAUAAUGCCUGUGUUUUGUUCUUUACCCAUGAUUAAACCAUAAGUGACUUCUUCAGAGCUUAAAAUUUAAAAGUAGAAAAUCAAUAGUUUUACAUUAUGAUGACAAAUUAAUAUUAGUUAUUGACACGCUAAAGAGUGUAUUAGAAUAUUUCCUUUUGUAUAUAGAAUGAUUAAGGAUUUUACAAGCCUGUUAUUUCUUUGUUUGUGUUUAUCUCCUCCUUAAGUUUAUCCAGUGUCUUCAGGUCUCACGAUGCUUCAGGAUGGAUCAGGUUUGUGGAAUCUCUUUUGUGACAGGGAGUCCCUGACUUCGUUGUCUGCCUGUUGCUUCUUUCCGGGGUGACUGACCCUGGAUCAACUGCACAGCUGUAAGCGGACGUGAACCUUCGUUGUUCGUCUUAGCUGAAUCCAGAUUUGGGAAUUUAAUGUCUUUUUCUUCCUGGUUUACCAUAUAACUUCGAUUGAAAAAAUAUUCUAGUAAUUUCCUAAGAAGGGAGAUUGAAGGGUAAACCUUAUGCAUUCUUUGCCCACACAUGUCCCAUCGUAACUUUAUUCUCCUGAUGUGUGUCCGGUAAUAUCUUUACUCUACUCUACAGAUUAUGGGUUUGACCAGAAUUGGCUUCUGAACCAAAAAUAACCUCCCUAGUGUAACUGAAAGGCGUUUUUCAUUAUCUUUACCUUAUGUGAUUCUGAUGUGAAAUCUGAUGCCUGUCUCGUCUUUCAUUUGUGUAUAUGGCUUCAUUUUGCUCUCUGGAAGAUGCCAGGGAAUUUUCAUCCUCGGUGUUCUGAACGUUUUAACGCAAUCAGAGUUGGGCCUUUCAAAAUUCAUUUUUCUGGCUGUUUGGUAACUUUUUUCGAAGAGAGGAUUUAUAUGCUUUGUUUUGAUAAAUAUUCUUGUUUUGGCCUGGGGUUCAGAUACCUGGCAGUUCAGUCCUUGGCGGUGGGAUGAUGGGGGCGAGGCCGUAGCAUUCUGGUCUGUGAGUUUUUGUUCAUGCUGAUUGUUGUCAGCCAUCCAUCAUCUUCGAAACACCUGGCAUUUCUGCCUCUCACGUCUGACUCUACUUCUUCAGGGAAGGUCAGCUCCUUCUGGGCUGUAGCUCCCCCAAAAGUGUAUUUUCUGCUGGUCUUCCUUGACCCUGCUUCUGUUGGCCCAGUUUUCUAGAAAUGUGUUUUAUUCUUUCGUGUCAACGAUUCCCUGCCCAGUCUCUGCUCCUGUGCUUCUGUGCUGUCUCUGUCCCUCAGUGUAACUGGGAUGGGAACUGGAUGGGAAGGCAGUAAACUUGUGUGUUUAGUCAUCCCAGAGCCUGAAGAGCUCAGCUGAGUCCCAGGCGUGAUAGGACCACCUGGCAGUCUCGCCUCAGUGAUCACUCACUCAUCUUUUUCUGCAGCUUGGCGCUUGGCACCUUUUGUAAACACUGAAUAAGUGACUGCUGAAUUAUAGCAGGGUGGAAAAGAGAUUGUGUUUAGGAAUGGUAACCGCUUUAUAUUCAACUUCGGUCAGACUUUUAUUAAUAGAGUGAAUUGUGCUCCCUCAUCUCUACCCAUGAAAUACGUAAACAUUAAAAGGACAUUUGAAAAAUAAUGAGAUUUUAUGGGGCGUUUGAUGUCCCUCCACCUUACUUUACAUUAACAGAACUGCCAGCUUUACUGGUGUCAUUUUACAUAUUCUAGCUGAGAAAUGAGUAGUUCUUCUCAGUAUUCUUUGAACUGCCUAGUGUGUCCUAGCACUUACAAGGCUGCUAAAAGUUGACACUCUUUUAUAAUAUAAGCUAAGCUGAAUUUUAGCUAACAUAAGAAUAUUAUGGUGUCAUAAACUAAUAUUUACGAGAGCAUUUUAUGUAGUUUAAAGCACUAUAUGUGUUUGAGAUUUUUGGGUAUUACAAUGGUGACCUGCCAGAAUUGUUUUCUAAGCUUUGUUAUUUUGAGCUGGGAUUAGGACACUAAUUAGCAUGCUUCUGUCAUCUAUUUUUGUACUUCAAAUGGAGAAAGAAUGCUUUUGUAAUAAUGGAGUUGUGAACCUUAAGUAGCAGUAAUAGAGAUGAGACAGCUCUGCACAGUAUAUGAUUAAUUUCAGAUUUAUUUGUCUAGUGUAGACAAAAAACAUAGAGGCAGAUAUCAAGGGAAAAAGAAAGGACUGAAGCCACAUCUCAAAUAUAAAUGUAAUAUGGCUCCGCUGGUAGAAAUUACUGACCCCUGUCUGGUUCUGUUUGGCUAGCUCUGUUGAAGUAAUCAGUGCGCCCUGCCUCUCUGAGUGGAAGCGUGGUAAAGCCUGACCACCGGAAGGGCUGAGACCCUGAGUGAUCCUUGAACACAUGAACCCUGUCCUUUGUGCAAGUGAGCAUCUGUCUUCUUUCCCACUGUCUACUAUUUUGAUUUUUUUCAUUAUGUCCUGAAUCGAUGUGGUAGAAAAAAACAAUAUGAUUAAUUUAUAAUGUGUUCAUAACUAUGUUUGCUUGCACUUUUGUCUGUUUUUGUACACUUUGCAUAGGGAAGCAGUGUUCUGCUGCAUACUUAGCAGAACUACUAAGGAUGUUCUACUUCUCUUAUUUAGCAUUAGUUUGUAUCUAGCUCGCAAGACUGUGUGCUUUCAUAUGCACCGUCUUCUUUAAGGUGGUGAGAAUACUUAACAUGAGAUCUACCUUAAAGUUUUUCAAUAUACCGUAGAAUGUUAUUAACGCUAGCAUGAAGUUGUACAGGAGAACUUUAGAACUUGGUCACCUUGUAGAUGUACUGGUUGCAAGAUAAAGUGUUAACAAUGCCAGUAUGCCAAAAUAUACUGAACCUUUCAUCAUUAUAAGUUGCCUUGAUUCUAUUUAUUUACUUAUGUAUUCAUUUAUUCUUAGGGUAAUAAGAUAGGCAUCUUUAUUUAAAGAUCUUCUUUUGGUUUGUUUUUCUAGCGUAUAUCCUCAAAGUGGAAUUAUCAGGUCAGCCUCCUCAGCCUAAUCAUUUUACGGUGCUUUUUAGGGAGUAGAUUGUUCCAACCCAAGAGUAGCUAUCUUUGGUAAGGGCAACACGGAUCAAGUUGUCACCGGCAAGCCCUGUGGCAAAGAUUCCUCUUCCAACUUAGUUUCCAGUCCUACAGCUAGCCAAGCACUGAAUCUGGCAAGAAAAAGGUCCAGGACAAGUGUCCAGCGGGUGUGGGCUUGAGAAGCUUGGGUAGGAUGUCAGGAUGAGAGGUUUUGGAGACAUGCUAGGGUGAAGUAGCCACCAUUCACACACUUUCUUGGGCUGCCUCCAGUUUAUGCACAAAUCAAUCUGGAAAAAAAAGAUAAUUACUCUUUCAGGGAAUAGGUUUUGGGAAGCACUGACAGGGUCACAAAAAUGAUUAUUUUGAGAAAAUAGUCACUCAGAAUUAAAAGACUACUUUAUUUCCACUAACAUCAGACAUAAAAACGAAUGGUAAUGAAAACAGAGGCACAUUAUUAAUUGCAUAGCAUUUUAAUUCACAGGAAGUAGACUUGUAUGUGUUGCCCUGGCCUUUGUUUUUAGAGGGUGAAUUUUCAAAGGAGAGGUUAAUGAGACCAUGUAAAAUAUCAUAUAUGACGAAUGUUUUUGUGUUCUUUGGUAAAACUGUUUUUGGAAGAUUGCCUAUUGUUUUGUUUCCUUUCCUAAAGAUUCAAAUGAAGUUAUUAGAACUCAGACAUAGGAAAAGUUGAUUUUUUGUGUGUGUAAAGGGUCAUUUGUUGUAUUACACAGUGAUGCGUAGCCAUAUGUAAGCCCCCUUCUCCUGGAUGUAGGAUAAAUGGCAAAUAAAUGAAUAGGUCAAAAGGGAGUUAAAACAAAAGAAUUAUUUAGGGCUGCUCGUUUCUGGAAUGUCUCUCCUAAGAACUAUAAUUAAAUUAAGUAAUAAAGAUAUUAUCCCUAUCAAAGAUUAUUUUCAAGUCUAAGGCAAUGUAAUAUGGUAGUUAAUUGGUGAUUUUGUUUCCAACAGUACAGCUUUGUAAAUAUUUUCAUGUUCUUUUUUUUUUUUUCUUUAACUUUUUAUCGGUACCGGGGAUUGAACUCAAGACUGCCUGCUUACAAGGCAGGUGCUUAUGCCGCUGAGCUAAAUCCCCAGCCCCUAUUUUCAUGUUCUUAUGAAGGCCUAAACGUGAGGACUUUUCCCUCUGAGUAUUCCUUGCUUCUUUCUAGAUCCUUUCUGUGUCUGGCUAGGCAGUGGGCUGCUCUGCCUAACCUUAGCCUGCAGGUCCCAGGGAAGGCUGUGGUGGUUCCUGUGCUCGGCAGAGGGCUGCACUGGGAUUAGACUUCAGCGUUAAAUGCCACAGUCAUUAAAUGUUAGAGCCUAAGAGGGCUCAACCUCAGCAAGGAGGUCUGGAGAGGAAAAGUACUUAUGCUACUGCACAAAGCGUGUGCGUGGUGUCAUUUGAUGGCACAUCCGGGCUCCUUUCAUGUGCCAUGGUGUUUUCACCAGGCAGGGUAGGACACUGCCAUAUAUUUUUACAGGACCUUUGCUGGUUUGCCAAAGCAGAAGCCUGUAAACCAGAGACCCACACAAACUGGGGUCUAAGAGAUCUGCGGGAAAGUAGACUCUAAGGAUAGAUGGCAGAAAUGGGAGCUUAUAAUCAGUUCAUCAGACUUUUACAUUCUUCCAUUAUGAAUGUAAUGGUGGAAAUAUUUAGCCUUUCCAUUCUACUAAUAAGUUGUGGUUUAUUGUAGUUAGAAAAAAAAAUACUAGUUCUGAGAGUACUACCGGAUCUCUAAUUUCCCAUGAAUAUUUUCUUCACCUCCCCCCUCCAGCCCCAGCUCAGGCCUUAUCUGCUCUUCUUGUACCCAUUGCCACUUAAAAUAUGGGCACUUUCUACUUUCCAAAAACUGCUGUCCACUAAGACGCUUUUAUUUUCUCCCGGCUUAAAUUGCUGAUUUUAGGCCAAAAGCUCAAAGCCAGUAUCAACUCUAUUCUUGCAGCUGAUUCUGAAUGCCUUUCAGCCACACAGCAUUGGAUUGUGGGCACCCCCGUCUCCUCUCCACUUUCAAAUCCAGGACUUCACUGUCUGGGGAAUGAUCCCUUUGUAGGUUCAAUGCCUUCUGAACGUUAAGAUUCUGCCAAAUAAAUAAAAUGAUAUGUUUAUUUAAAAACUAAGCUGAAUAGGCUUCUCUAUACCUCAACAACAAAUGAACAGUAUAUAUUUGUUCUUGGUGGAUCGAGCCCAAAAUAAAAAUAAACCCUCUAUAUUUUAGAUCCUGAUCAAAUUACCAAUGAGGCUCUGUACACUUACCUCCUUUAAAGAGUAUAUUUAUAGCAAACCAUCAGGAACAGAUAUUCAAAAUGAGAGAGGAUUAAAAACCCAUAGUGUGAUUAAUGUUACAGACUUCCUUUGGAUAUUUUACAGAAUACUAAUUUUGUUGUCCUGGUGAUUAUGUCAGAAUCUAUCACGAGUUUAAUUCUAAGUGAGAAAUACACUGUUAGAAAUAAAUCUUAAGGUUUAUUUUGUAGUUGCACCAGUAGCUCAUGUUAGUAACUUUUAUUCUGUUGUUUCAUUGAGAGGGGAAAAUGUAUCAGUAAAGUUUUUUUAAAUGGAUGAUGUUUUCUGGAAUAUUAACAAUUUUUUUUUACUUUACUCCUUCUAGAGAAUCCUGAAAAUAUAUAUAAUUUAUUAUUUUAUUUCCCUUUUUGUUUUUUAAUUCUCUGAGUAGUUGUUUUCAAAUUAGGAAACAUUUGAGUUUGUCUACAUUUCAUAUUUUGCAGGAAGAUUCUUUUUCUAAACAAAAUAUUAGAAGAGUCUGAAUAAUACAGGUUUCUUCCAACUUAGAGGAAAGGAGGUCCCUCUUGGAUAUUGUCUGAUUCAUUAUAAAUUGCAGCUUUAGAAUUUAGAAAAUUGUGUCAUAAAUCAUGAUGUCAUUUCCAGGUAAUCGCAUUUGGGCAAUGUCUCCCUUGAGAAAGCAUUCUUGUCACAACAGCUGUGUCAUUCGUGGAGCUGUAGGAGAGAGGUUUAGGCAGAUCUGAAUCGUAGUGUGACAAGUGUGCUGCCUGGACACAUUUUUGUUGUUACUGCUUGUUGGAAGAAAUAAAGUUCAUUUAAACCAAAAUAUCAGCUUCCGCGUCAAGACAGUUUAUUCAGAUUAACACACGGUUAGGCACUGUGGCAGUUGGUUAUCUUGGUACAUUUUCUUUCAUAAAAUAAAGUCAAAAGACUGAAGUCUCAGAUAAAUAAGAGAAAGGAAAGAGACUGGAUAUUGGAGGUUGGCUUGUCCUGUCAUUCUGCCACUGAUUAAUUAGUGGUGACCUAAUAUGUUUACCUUUCAAGCGUAGUAUCACUCUCUGAACAAUGCCUAUUCAUUCUGCAAGUACUCUUUGUGUGUCUAUCAUGUGCAGGUGCACCUGGCACUUUGCUAGGUGAUGGGAAUAAUGUAAUGAGUGAAAGAAAAACAGUCCUUGAUCUCAUGGAGUUGACAAUUUGGUAGGAAAGCCAGACAUGAAAGAGAUAAUUACAUGAAUCAUACAACUGUAGUUAUACUAUGAGCAGAAAGCAUGCAGAGCUAAGUAGCAAAAUUGGAAUAAUACUGCCUUCUUUUCAAGGCCUUGACACAUAAAAAGCACAGUAAAUGGUGGUAAUGAUCGAUAAAAGUGUUAUUAGCAUUUUUAUGAUGUCAUCUCGGACCAAAACAUGAGCACAUGUGGACAGACAGGGCAGACAAUUAAAUGCAUGCUGCGAGAUGAACUAAUGAAACUGAGUGAAUUUAAGUGCAGGAUGUGUAAGACGAGAUCACAUGAUGAAAAUAAAAACCAUCCAGGGUGUACAAGGCACCUACCAGGAGUGACAGUGGCCAUUACUUUGAUGAGGUUUUGACUGUUUGGUGGUAAAGCCCUGUCCCAGCAAGGCUGUUAGGUCCAGGUUACUGCCAGAGGGUGAGUUCUAGGAGUUGCCUUUAAAAAGAUGCUUUUGUGUUACACUCUUUAGCUUUUAGGGGCAACCCUACCCAACCCCAUAUGCAUGCAUGCAUACAUACAUGCGUACAUACAUAUGCAUGUACACACGUCUACGUGUGUGUGUAUAUGUGUAUGUGUGUACUUGUGACUUCCUCUGCAAGGCCUACAAUGUAAAUAAUACAAUCUUUUGGCUUGCCUGGGCUGCACUGAGUGAAGAGGAAUUGUCUUGGAUCACAAAUAACCACAUAACAAAUAUUUAUUUUUUAUAUAUUUUUAUAACAUGAGAAAAAGAGGUCAGACUAUCGAUUGGACAAGCCUGAUUAAUUUGUAAUAAGUCAGGAAAGAAAGAGUUUUCCCAGGCCUUCAUCCUGCAGUUAGAAAUGAGGCUACCUUAAAUCUGGAAAUAGAAAUUCUCUAAAGAGUUCACCUAGAAAUGAAAUACUCUGUGAGCCCUCAGGUUAGUUUCAAGAAUGUCUAUUCUGUGUGUGGCUCUGCUCUCUUGGCAUGGCAGGGUGAUAAGAGGAAACAGUAAGGUCCAGAGUGAUAACCUCAUUAUUACAGUGCGUACCUCACACAGCCAUCGUGGAGGGAAAGCUUGUUGACUCUUGGCUGAUGAAAAGCAGCAUUUUCUGCAGCAAAGACACUAUUCUGGGAAUGCCUGCCCUAUUUCAGGAAAGAAGGGGAUGGAAGAGAAUUGAAUUCUGUAGCCAAAUUACAUGGAAUGCUGUGUGUAGAAUUCAACCAUGUUUUCUUCCCUAUUAAUAGUCACGGUAUGUUGGGAGUUCAGCAAAGUGAUUUGCAUCUAGAAUCUAGAAUUCUUAGAAUAAGACUGAGAGGUAGAUAUAGUUAGGACCAUUUUAUAGUUGGGAACAAUCAAAUGUGGCACCUCCAAUAAAUAGACCAGCUUAUUUCUGAACUUGAGUUUUGACUGUGAAGCUGGCUUUCUUAACUGACACCAUGUCUGUUUUUUCUCUUGCUGUGGAAGCUGCAUGCAUACGCACUGUGUCGUUUGCCAUUCUAGCCCUACAGGCUUGUCUGGUACCUGACUCUGGGUGGAGUGUAGCAUCCCAUGGGUUGUAAGAGACAGAACUCUGGCUCACAGCAGUGUAAACAGAAAGCAGACUUCAUUGUGUCUUGUGAAGAGAAACGCAGUGGCUAGGUGUAGCAUGACAGGACAUAGGGGACAGAUGGUGUCAUCACAACUACCUUUCUUUGCUUCUUUCUACGAGCUUCCCUGGGUUGGCUGCUUUCCCAGGAAGACUCUCCAUGGGGAGGCAAUUAGAACAACCAACAAUUCGAAACUACUGAGCACAGAAAUAAGAGGUUCUCUCCUUCAAGCUGUUGCAAAAAAAGCCCUAGGGGUGUCUCUGAUUAGCUUGGCGUGGGUCAAAUGCCCACUCCUGAAAUAAUUACUAAACUGGAGAGAUGUUGUCUGUAUCCCUGGAGCUGGAUGGUGGAGGGGUCAAGCCUCCUCUAAUCCUGUAGUUUCUUAGAUAUAUUGAGUUGGAAGAAACCUGUAUCUACUGCAAAAACUAUUCCGUAAAUAUUUGCUGAACAGAAUGAGGGAAGGAAAGAAUACCUUCUAGAGAACCUUCAGAGGUACAAAAAAAUCUAAAAAUAAGGUGUCACAAAUUAGGGCAUAUAUUACAGCAGCAGUGUAUUUUUGUUGAGUUAAUAUAGGAACAAAUGAAUAACAUUUUGAAGGAAGAUAGAAUCUGUUCCUCAGAGAAAGAAUAAGUGCUCCUUUGUAGGGUAAGGAGGACUUAAAGGGGUGCCCAUGAAGUCAUUUUGCUUGUAUGCUCCUCGGAGUCCCCCUCAGAUUGGUGCAAUGGAAAGAGGAGGGUCCAGCUGAGUCCUCCGUGGCAGCGGUGUAAAUGCAAACACCGAAGGCUCUAGAAAGGGGAGCGUCAAGUGGGAUUUUUGAAAGCCUUGUGCAUAUCCUCCAGGUUUAUGCAAAGUUUGCAUUCUAUUUUAUGAUGUUUUCAAGGUUGUUUAAGGAGUUCGUAUUUAAAGUUAAUUACCAUUGAGAAGAAGGAAAACAAAAUGGACUUCCUGAUAGUCUUGGUGGAACAGAAAGGUGAUGUUUAAUUGAAUCUUACCAAAUUUGAAAAAUUGCAUAGAACUGAAGCAGCUGAUACCAACAUCGGGUGCAUGUUCCAGGCACUUCCUUGGUCUCAGUAUUUUUACAUUUCAGAAACACAUUAGAAGAGACUUCAUACUCACUUAGAGGAGACGCUUAAAAUCUUGUUUCAAGAAGUGGGGAGACGGAGGGUCCUUACGCUCCUGUUCAGGGAAUCUCUCUCUUUUCAAAGGAGUAUAUCAUUAGUCAGAAGGUCUCUGGUCUGUUUCUGCUCCCAUCUUAGAAACACAUGUUCAAAGGACUGUCAGUGUCAGAAGAAUUCUGAUGAUCAUAUUUUACAUUUUUCCUGUAUUUUAAAUUUUUCUCAUGCAUGAUCUGGCUGUCCCAAAUAAUUCCUAGUCCUAGUCCUUAUGAUCAGUGAUUCUCAUCCAACUCUCACAUUUUACUUUUAUUGUAGCUGACUUGUGUGGUGUAAAAAACCAGCUUUGCUAUUUUUUCUCUCAGCUGUUGCUUGAGUGUAAAAUAGCCAAUUCUGGCUUGUUACGGAAGCACACACUUAGAAUUUCAGCAUUCUGUAAGGGUGAGGAAACCUGACGAUCUGAAGUUCAAGCUCAAUCUGGGCAAUUUAGUGAUUGAAAAGUUAAAUUAAAAGGAGAAAGAGAGAAAAGAAAAGACAGAAAGAAAAGCAAGCAAGCAGGGAGGAAAUAAAGUGAAGAAAAAAAAAGGAAAGAAAUUAUGAAAAAAAAGAAAAGAAAGGAAUUAAGCAAUUGAACAAGCUGGAAAUGUAGCUCAGUGUGAAAGCCCUGGAUUCAAUCCCCAGCACACUCCUCCCCUGUGCCCUGUAGUCAGUUUGUGUCAUUAAGACAAAGAGUGGGUUUAUUCAGUAUAUCUAGCUUUUUUUUUUUAAUGAAUAUGGAGGAUUUUCCCUCAUGAAGAAAAAUAAGAAUUGAACCUUGUAUUCAAAAAAUUUUUUUUUUUAUUUAAGAGGAAAAAGAGAAAAACACAAAACAAAACAAAGCAGUGUAAGGUUACACAUAAUACAGAACUACAAAAAAAAAAAACAUAACAGUAAGAAAUCACCUGUUAAUAGAUUACAUAUUAUCAUCUUGGAAAUAGUUGCUCAAAUCACAGUAUCAAAGAAUACAAAGUAGACAUUCAAACAGAGAGACUGCAAACAGCUGUGUUCAAUGAUCCAAAAACAUUAAUAUAGUCAGCUAUUUAACAGCCCUAUACACACUUGCUGUUAUAUCCGUUAGAGCUCUUUUUUUUUCCCUUCCUCUCUUUUUUACAACAAAAUUUACACAUUUUGGAUUUUAUUACUCCUUAGUUCUUAUUACUUUUUUGGGGAGGGGAGAGAAUAAAGUCAAAUAUGGCAAAACAAAGCUGUCAGUCAAAACCAAGGAUAGACAUAGCACAUGAUGUAGAACAGAGUACAAGGUUAUCAACAAUGGUUAUCAACAUUGUCUCUUGUUUCCUUAAAAAGAAUUGUCUAUCUCAUUAGAUAUUAUAAAGUUGGACAAAACAGUAGAGAACAAGACCAAUAAAACUUAGGCAUUGUAAACAUUACAGGACUUCCAAAGGAGACAAUAGUCAAACCAGAAUGGGCAUCUUUGUGAAUCUUAUUGCCUUUAAAGUAGUUGUCUAUACCCUCAGACUUGAUACUAUCGCACAGAAUGGAACAGAGUCUAAUCAGUCAAAACAAGAUCGUGGGAAUAUUACAGGACUUCAAAGCAAGUUAUUCAAAAAUUUUUAGCAGUGCCUUUUGCUAGGUCAACCUAGAAGUCAUGUUAAUGUGUUUAUAGGUUUGCUGUAGCAGUAUUCCGUUUACAGCACACGUGUGUUAAAAGUGGUUCUGACCCACCUGGCACCUAAGAUUCAGUCUCUCUUAAGACUGACCUCUGGCGUUCUGUAAGGAAUGACCAGGAGCAGAGUGGACUAGCUCUCCCAUUGGGGUGAGGACUUGACGGUCUGUCUGCUCACUUGACAGACUUUCAGGCAGGGCAUCGGUUUACAGCUUUGCCUUUAGCAUGGUCUCCUGGUUUCCUUUUCAAGGUUUUUACUCUACUGCCUUGAAAGCGGAAGUUAAAUAUUUCUUUCAAACACAUGGGAACUGUGUCAUUCCACAGUGAUGCCUUUCAACUUGGUUAUUCUGCUUCUUUUCUCUGAAACUGUUUUGACCACAUCUCAAGUUUAGGGCUUCAACAAAUUUCCUCUCAAUAUGCGAGCUUUCCUGAUGAAGAGAUUCUAUAACCAGCCUUGAAGACAGCUUUGACCAGUCACUUUUAUUUGUUUGUUUUAUGGAGCUUUAUAAAUUGCAUUGCUUCUGGCCAAUGUGUCCCUUUUUAGUUUCAAAAGAUUCUGGCAGCAGUCCUCCUGGCUUUGAUUGGUUUUAUAAAAUGUUAUUCCAAGACAGAUAGCUCUGUAUACUUCUUAUGCAUUUUCACAUGAGAGGCAUGGAUGUGAGCCUCAUACGUCUGUACAUAACCAAAAUCAUAUAUUUUAAAGAAACAGCCUCUGCUCUUUCAAUGGACUAUUGCUUAUCACUAUGGAUUCAUUAACUGUGGUCCAGGGAAUUCUUCCAUCAUCAACUCGUUGUGGGGACUCUCAGGAGCAGUGAGUGGCGUAUCUGCCUCAUUUCUCAACUGUUUCAGGUUAUAAUUAAUUUUAAUCAUUCUCUUGCACAUUUGCAUUGUUUCAUAACCUCUACUUCCCAUUUCAAGAGCAUUCUCAAUUUCAAAUGCAACUUUUAAAUCACUGCACUUUAAGCAGGUAAAUGAGUAAUUAUCAUAAAAGUCUAUGCUUUAUGACUUGGGUUACUUUUAUGCUGGAUUUUUAAUUGGAUUUGAUUGUAGUUAUAUGCUAGUAAAUAAGAUUUUUACUCAAUUGCAGUUAUAAAAAAAGAUGAACCCGGGGGAUUUUAUGUAAUCAAAAUUAAAACAAACAAAAUAGACAAAAUAUUUCAUACCAUGAUGAGACAAGCAUAAUUUUUAAAAAGCUGGCUGGCCCUUAGGGUCUCUAGGGAGUUCUAAACUGUCACAGAUUCCAGCUAUGGGACAAGGGAGGGGACAGCACUGGCUUUGACAGUUUCUUACAUAAUACAGUCUUACUAAACUAGUGCACAUUUUCACUUUGGGGGGUUGGCAGUUGUGGUAUUUAGAGCGUGCUGUGUUUUCCAAUGUCUUACAGCUUUCAGGAGAAAAAAAAGUAAAGCCCAAAUCAAAUCAAAAGCUCUGAAAGUAGGUAUCUUACUAAUUUGCAUGAAUAUGAAAAUCGAAGGGAUUUCAGAGAUCCCACCUUACGCCUCUCGCCUGCCUCCCUUCAGUCACUGAGGAGGAAACACCAUAUAAUCAAGGCAACUUUCCAGAGCAGUGCACUUCAGGGUGGAGCCUACCAGGCGGGUCACAGGGAGGAAGCAGGAGACUGAAAGACUUGUCUGUAUCUCAAGUAAUCAAGCGGUAGUUAUUAAGUAUUCUAAAAGUAUCAUACUUGGAGUAGAUCUGCCUAAAAGAAACACUGUAAAUAAAGUUAAUCUGAAAGUUCCACUUUGAGUUAAAUAAACCUUUCCUCCUUUAACUUGGGGGUUUCAGGUAGUUUGUCUCAGCAAUGCACCUUUAAGUGAUACAUGUAUGUUUCAAAUUGAAUAAUUUUGAAUAUAGAAUGGUUUCUUAUAGUGAUGGUGUCUUACAGUUGCUCCCAGCCAUGAAGUUACAAUUGCCUGGACAAAUGUGAGUGUCCGGAGUACCAAUAGCAAACUUUGCAAAAUGUGCGUUUGCAGUUUGGAAGGAAAGUCUGCAGAUACUUGAUGGAUGGAGCAGUUCGCGAAAUGCUGCACUGUUUGUGCGGAGGUAGUAUUGUACAGGGGAACAUGGGCCUGAGUUGUUUGGUGGCAAAACAAUUCAUAGUUGGAUUUCCAGUAUGAAAAAAAGUUAGGAUUCUUAACUAAUUUGCUGUUCUGCUAUUUCUUUCAUAUGUACACCCAAAAGUGACAUAAUAAAAAUGUGUGUAUAGAAUAAGCAUUGUGUCAGUUUUAUUGACGUUUAUCUCUUUCUUAUCUAUAAAAUAAUGGUGCGUCUUACAAUACAUGGAGCUCUCGAGCUCGUGAGUUAUGGUAAUUGAGAGUUUUGGAAAGUCCCUCUAACCUGCUUUUCUCACAAUGGAUACUGAAUGUAUAUAAUGACAUUUUUCAACGGAUAGUCAAUUAUAAUGCUCCCAUACUGGCUUAAGAAUAAUCACAGAGAGGGAGUAGGUUUCAUAGAACUGCUUCUAUGCCUUCUCUCCUCUGAGCUUGAGAGGAUUCCUCCAGCAUGCACCUCAAUAAAAGCAUCUUAAUGGGGGUGAGCAUGGUGACUAUGAUGAGUUACACAGCUUCAGAGCAGCACGGACAGUGACUCACAUAAGACACUGGAAAAAACUUUUGGUUCAUGCACUCACUUUUCUUUCUUACAAAACCCUCCCCAUAAAUUACUUGCAAAAUUCUGGGAGUGUAGCUCAGUGGCACAAGUGCCUGUCUGGCAAAUGGCAUGGUCUGGAGUUUAAUUUCUGGUACCGAAAAAAAAAAAAAAAAAAAAAACAAAACCCAAAACCCAAAAUCAACUCUGCACAACAUUCCCUACCUGCCAAGUGACUUGUGUUUUUUUUAAGCCAAUUAGUAUUGGAAGACUAUUUACAAAAAUUAUGAUUUUGAUGUCUAAAUUGUUGAAAGAAAAUCUAUUUUUCUUUAUCACUGUUCUGUUGUAACACUAGUUGUCCAUUAAGGUAGUAAAACUGAAAACACAGUCUGGAGGCAUCUUAUUUCUAUAUUCUGUAUUGUGAUCUUAAGUUAUUAAGAUGAGGGUCGAGGGGCUGGGGAUUUAGCUCAGCAGCAUAAGCGCCUGCCUUGCAAGCAGGCAGUCGUGAGUUCGAUCCCUGGUACCGGUAAAAAGGAAAAAGAAAAAAAAAGAUGAGGGUCAAACAGAAGGGGACCUGGGCCAUGUCCCUGUUCUUCUGCUCUCCUGUAAGAUCAUCUUGACUGGUCUUCCUUAAAUGCUGGUGUUACACCAAUUUCAGCAGCCUCUGGGCUCUGUGCAACCCACUGAGAUGAAGCAAAACUGAGUCCUGACACAGGGCCAGAAACCAAGGGAGACUCAACGCAAACUACAGAGUAUUCUGUGCUGUUCAGGGAGGUCAUCCUGGUGAGGACUUACUCUUAAUAUGGAAGAUUACAGUGGCUGAGUCUGAAGGCUUUGGCUAUCAUGGAAAAGGCCGGACAUUCUUUAUAAUGAAGAAACUGCUUGGCAUUACAUUUGAUGGUGUAGUCAAUUCAGUAUUAUUUUUUAAAUAAGAAAGAAGCAUGCAAGAUCACAGUAAAAAAAAAUGUCAAAAUUGAACAUGCCUAGACUAGACCUUGAAAUUUGUGAUGGCAGGAAGUCUUUACUGGGCUCACUUUAUCAGAAGGUUUUAAAUUGUUACUUUGUGUAAGAAUAGGCAUAAGGAGACAUCAAAGAGAACCAGUCUCAAUCUGUAUUUGAAUGUGAUGUCAUGUUUAUUUUACUCUAUAGUACAUUAAUAGAGCAGAGAAAAUUUUUUGUUUCAAAAACUAGAUAUCCCAAGUUUUGAGUUGAAAAAUGAGAUGUCUUAGAGAUGCACUGGGAUGUGUUAGAGAUGCACUGCAAUGUCUUGAAGAUGCACUGGGAUGUCUUAGAGAUGGACUGGGAUGUCUUAGAGAUGCACUGGGAUGUCUUAGAGAUGCACUGUGAUGUCUUAGAGAUGCACUGGGAUGUCUUAGAGAUGCACUGGGAUGUCUUAGAGAUGCACUGUGAUGUCCUAGAGAUGCACUGGGAUGUCUUAGAGAUGGACUGGGAUGUCAGAGAUGCACUGGGAUGUCUUAGAGAUGCACUGUGAUGUCUUAGAGAUGCACUGGGAUGUCUUAGAGAUGCACUGUGAUAUCUUAGAGAUGCACUUAGAGAUGCACUGGAAAAUGGAAAAAUUGAUAGUGAUUCAGAAGAUACCAUUAUUUGUGAUAAUUCGGAAGGGGUUAGUAAGAUGUUUGAUUUGCGUGCCUGUGAAAGUUGAAUAGGUACAGCAUCCACACAAGUAGAAAAGAAUAAGGCAGCUUACUUCAAAGCAUGAUGAAUCUCUUAUUUACACAGAGUAAAUGGCCAGAUCUGCAGUUUCCAGUGUGUGUAGCGCCAGUUUAUAAGCUAACGUGGACUAUUCAUUUGACUUAGGGAAUUGGACUGAAUUUUAAACCAAAAGGAAACCAUUAAUUUACUCUGAAAGGGAAAGAAAAAUCACCUAAUAAACUAAUACAAUAUUUUCUUUUUUUAGCAGCAUAUUUUUUUUAUUUAAAGAGAAAGAAAUGAAAAAAAUACAUGGAGAUUAAAAAGCGUAGAAAUAAUACAGAGUUACAGAAAAAUAAAUGGUAAGAAAUCACCAGUUGAUAAGUUACAUAUUGUCAUCUUAGAAAUAGCUGUUCAGGUUACAAAAUUAAAGUAUGUAAAGUGACAUUCAAAUAGCGACACUGCCAACAGUUCUGCUCAGUGAUCUAACAAAAACUUAGUAAUAUGGUUAUCAGUCCUACACACUUGUUUUUUAUCUUAAAGAGGGUAAGAUUAAACACAUCAUAACAGAACAAAACAGUUAAAAAAAUCUGUAUUUAAAGAAAUACAGAUUUCAAAGCAAGUCCACUGGAGAUCUUCACUGUUUAUCUAAUUGUCUCUAGUUUCUUCCAAAUAGUUGUCCCCAUCUUCACGCACAUUAAAUACAUACUACAUAUUAUAGAACUAAUCAAAUCAUUACAGGAUGAUGAAGGCUUUUUAGAUCUUCAGGAUCUGACAUUGGGGAAGACAAUAAUAACUACCAUAGUGUCUCUCAUUCUCUUCGUAGUAGCUGUCCUUGUCUUUACAUAUGCUGAAAUUGAACCUAAGAGACUAGACUAAUAUCACUCUGAACAGUGAAUAAUAGUAUUGCUAGAUUUUAUAUCAUAAUGCUACAAAAUUAGCAUUGGGUUUCUUAGUGUCUCUUCUUCAGAGUAUCUGUUUAUUACAUCUUACAUUGUAUUAUCUGUUCCUGUAAAUAGUUUUUAAAUAAAUCUUCUCAUGUGUGAAUUUCUACAUGUAUAUCUAUCCUCUCUGUAUUAUAGGGAAAAACAAAUCAUAACAAGACAGCAAAACAAAUUCCUAGAAAAACAUGCAAUGAAAAAAGACACAUAAGACCACAAUAUUAGGUGAUCUACCAUAGUUACUAUGCUUUCUCUUGUUAUUUUUAAUAGAUUUGUCCACAUCAUUGGGCUUAAUAUAGUUAAACAUAGUAUUACCUAGCUAUUUUUAUAAAAACACAACUUUGAAAACAUUGUAGGACUUGAGAGCUGUUAAUAAUCAAUACCAGUAUGGAUAUCUUUUACAUCUUGUCAUCUUCAGAGUAGUUGCCUCUAUUUUUAGGGUUGAUACUAUCAAGCAUACCAAAUUCAAAUAAAAUUAGCCAAGGCAAAACUGUGGUAAUACAAUAUUUUCUGAAAAGUAUAAGACUGGCUUACAGCUAGGAAGUCAGAGCAUUCUUAGAUUUGAUCCUGAACCAUUAGAUUUCUAUUUAAUUAGUACCUCUGAUUGUGAUAUGCUAGUUACAGACCACUCCUAUAAAUUCAUUCUCAGAUGAGCAAUUCAUUAUGACUUGGUUUUAAAAAAUAAUUUUGCGGGGCUAGGGAUUUAGCUCAGUGGCAUAAGCGCCUGCCUUGCAAGCAGGUAGUCAUGAGUUUGAUCCCUGGUACCGAUGAAAAGGAAAAAGACAAAAAAAAAAAUAAUAAUAAUUUUGCACUUGAAAAAAUUAAAAUGAAUUUCCUAAGAAAUAUUCUAUAAAUCAAACUUCUUUUUAGACAGAUACACUUUCAAUAAUGUAAGUCUGAAUUAGUAAGGCUUGAGUCUAAUUGCUUCAUUUUCCUCAUUCUGAAUAACAGGAUCAUACCACUUUUUAGUCCACAAAGCUGAUAAUAAAACCACCUUAGCUCUUAUUUAUGAGUCAGAUCCUAUUCUCUGGAGUGCCUUUGCCUAAUGAGCAAACAUCAGCUGUGUAUCUGAAAGAAUAAUUGUUCUUAGGGAAAUAAUUACUGAUUUAUAAUGACUGACUUUUUGAGAUGGAAAGAUCUGUUCUUUAUUUUCUUCUUUUGUGCCACAUCCAUGUCAAGCUGAAAAGUCAAUGAGAACCAAGCAUUUAAUUGUGUAAUAAAUUACUUGAAAUAUUAAUUAAAUUCAAGUAAUAUACAUAUUGAGUGGUAGUAAAAGAUGAUAAAGUCAGGCUAUCAUUAGAUGUCAAAUGAACACUGAAAUAGUAACUAUUUUAUAAUUCUGGGAGAGGGAGGAAUCAUUUGAUCCAGUCAAUAAAAGAUUUGUGAUUGGCAUAGGUGUUAAUCCGGGCCUUUAAUUAUAGUGUAGCAUUUUUAAUAGAUUAAGAGGAAGAGUGGAAAAAUAGAAAGGUUGUUAGUAGUAGUAGCAUGCUUAGCAAGGACAAAGGUAAAAGAAAUAGACUGUUGAAUGGAGGCCUCAGCCAUCUAUUCAUGCCUGCCACGUAUAAUACAGACCAAUCUAUAUUCACCAGAACUGUCAGUGCCUGCAAAGGCUGAAGGACUGAGUCAGAGGGAAGGAUGAGGAGAUAUGACAGCAAAAUGCAAUGUGUAGUUCUGAAUUAGCACUUGGCUUGAGAAAAAAUCUACAAGGAAUAUUACUGGGAAAAUUUAUGAAAUUUGAAUAUAGGGUGUACUUGAGAUACUGUGUUAUACUGAUAUUGAAUUUCCUGUACUUUAUGUGUAGAGGGUACUUAUGCAUUGGUUUCCAUAACAAAAUACAAUAAAUUGGAUGCUUUAACACAAUAGAAUCACAUAGUUCAUCAUUCCAUUUCCAGAUGAGGUAAUGUUCUUGGGUUCCAGGUGAACAUGAAUUUUGGGAGUGGGUACUAUUCAACGCAGUCCAGAGUAAAUAUCAGACUGUUCCAGUUUUUAGGAGAUAGAUAAUGAAGUAUUUAGGGGUAAAGAAACAUGACAUCUCUAACAUAGUUUCAAAUGAUAGUGAAAUAAUAAUAAAAUUAGGUGUACAUUUAUGGAGGAGACAAAAACAAAAUGUAUAAUGUUAAUAACUAAUAGAUGUUAAUGAAGGGCAUAAGAGUUUUUAAUUUUGAUAACCUUUUAUAGGUUUGACGUUUUUGGAAUAAACAUAUUGUAGCAAAUAAAAUAAUACCACACACAAAAAACUCAUAAAUGUUUUUCUUUGGACGUGGUCAUGUGUGAGAUGGUCAUUCCAUAAAUUGCUAACUGUGUCUGCUAGUGUAAGAUUGCUGCUGACCGAGUCACAGAUGGGUUUUUGAUGUGAGAAUUCCCAGCUGAUCUUGUGCUCUGCACCAUCUCUGUUCUUCCCCUUGUGGAAUAAUAUUGUAAUGGUGUAAGCAGUGAGGAUUUUAGUUUCUUGCAGCCAAAAACAUCCUGCCUCAAUCAAUACUGCACCGUUCUGUGCUAUAUUAGCCAGUUAAAGUCAAUAUUAAUGGGGGAAAUGUUAAUACAUUUCAUUUCUUUGAAACAUAUAUACAAAAAUCCACUUGGAUAUUUCCAUAUUUUAUUCAUAUUUAUGAAAGUAAAUUAAAUUUUUUCUAUUAAAAUUUCCAUUUGACCUCAAAGGCAGUUUUCAAGUUAAUAUUUGGCAUUUUGCCCAAGAUUUUGACCUAUAAUAGCUGAUCUAAUUGUCCCUGUGAAUGUCCGUGAUGGCACUAUACAUUCUAGAGAUAAGUAAAAAUGUGUAUACAUUUCUCCCCUUGACUUUAUUCAUCAAAGAAGUAGCUCUCAGAAAGAAUUUGAUUUUGGGGGGGCAGUUUUAAUUUUUAUGUAUUUUAUGAAAUUAACACUGUUGAAUAUAGAUGGUAUACUACGUAAAGUCUCAGAAACAUAUUUAAAAAUUUGUUCUACUAUAAUGCUUGUGAACUGCAAAAUGCAAGUAUCUUGCAUUUUCUCAAGUAAAUAAAAUGUAACAGGUAUUCAAAAUACAGUAGGGGCAGCCCUUUGCGAGGAGAGACUCCCUAGCUAGGGUAAGGCAGGAAGUGGAAAUGGGGUCUUCUCCAAGCAGACGUGCUGGUCCCUGUCAAUCUUGCAGAGGGCCAAGGGCUCGAGGGCCCGGAGAUUGAGUGUAAUGGCAGGAGAGCCAGCGCAUAAAAUUCCCACCGAGCUCAUUCUCAUCCACUCAGCAUGACCUUGACACGAGCAAAACAGUCACAUGGUCCCUUCAUUUCUUAGAAAUGACUGAAUGCUGUCACAACGAAGGACUUUUAUUGAACAGUGUGACAUGAAGAAGAAAGAACAUUGUCAUGAAAUACAAAACUGUAUAUUAUAAAAGAAAGCCAUGGAGGUAGUUAGGGGUGCAUUUUCUGCUCUCUAAUACCGACCUCACUUUAAAAUAUUCCAGGCAUCAGAUACUGUUGUGACAGGCUGGGUCUCCACAGUGUUAGAAAUACAUGGUGCAUUUCUGUGUGACGCUUAGGUGGAAGGCCACGGGUGUGUUCGGGUAAGCACACGUGUUUCGGGAAAUAUAUUUGCAGAAAUCUGAGGCAGGAACCAGAGGAGUGGGCCUAGCACACAUGGGAGCCUAAAGGGUUUUCUGGAACGAUCAGCGAGGGUCUGGGGCCCUUGCGGGCCCUGCGCCCCAAGCCUGUGGCAGAGGUUGUCCAGCAUCUCUUUGCCCGCAUUUCUCUCUGCUUGCUGACACCCUACUUCCCACUCUAGGUGUGUCAGUUUACAGGCUGCACCCCGCCACUGUCUCCUUUCUAUUAGUGUUCAUAGACACUUGUCUCAUGGCUACCUUUCUAGUCACUUUCCUCCUUAACAGCUUCCCUUCUUAUAUCUCACCCCUCAUCCUUCCAGUGUUUUCUAGUUAAGAACCCUCAGGAGACGGGCUUAGAGCCCAUUUUAUCUUUGUGCCUCAGCUGUGGACUCUGCAGCCACCCACCCCUGCUUCAGUAGCAGGAACAGAAAGCAACAGGCUUUGUGUGAGGGACUGUAGUCACCUACGGCAGCUUCCGUUAGCAAGAGGGCAUGAUUCACACGUUUGGCACAACAAACAUUGCCAAAAUAUUUUGACUGUAACUCUGAUAUCAUGCACCCUUUGAGAGAGAUGAUGUAGAUGACUCCUAAUUUAGUAGAUCUAGACAGGUAGCCAGGAGCAAGCAUUGCACUUAAACUCUUAAUUUUGGAGGCAUGGUUUCAAUCUAUGGUUGUUUGUUAUAAAAGGAGUUUACAGAGGAGAGCAGUUUCCUUUGAAAUAGAAGUAGCAGAAUGAGGAAACUUUGAUUCAGCAACUUGAAGUUUCUAGGCAUCAAGAGCAGCCUUUCCAGGGAAAGAACCAUGCGCCAAGUUUUAAAUAUUUGAUUUAAAUUGAUUGGAAUCUGAUAACAGCUUUAACUGGAAGAACCCAAGAAAAUGUCCAUAAACAUUUCACUUUAUUAAUCCCAUUCAUGGAUCUACUUAGGAGGUACAGUUCAGGCAAACAGUAACAGUAGUUCUUGGGCCCUUGCUAUGAUACGUCAGGUACCACGCCAAGGACUUACACGCCCCAUCCCAUUUGAUCCUCAUGGAAACCUUUGGAGGACAGCUGUGCUCAUUAUGUCUGUUUUACAGCCGAAGGAAUUAGGCUUUAAAGAAGCUAGACCUUCUCAGGGUCGCAAAGGUGAUGUGACCUGAUGAGAAUUUGAAUUUGAGUCUUGGCCUGUAGCCACUGGGUGUCUGCUGAUGCUGGUCCUCCACCAGCACCUUCCCCAACCUAAACAGCUUUUAAAAAAUAUUUUAUUUUUGAGAAAAUCCUAUGCUAUGUAAUCUAGGCAGUCCUUGACUUUCAGUCCUCCUGUCUCUGCUCAGGCGUAGACCACUGUGGUAGGCUAAGGAGCUUUUGGCAGAGGUUGUAAAGACACCUCACCGCCCAGCCUUUUGGGUUCUCCUCAGUGGCUUAAGACAGGAGUAUUUACAGCAUUGGAGAAUUUUCUGGGAAGAGUCUAAGAUAGGGGUGAAGGGAUGGUUCAGGCAAAGCCCAGAGCCUUGCAGGGUGUAUAGAUUGCUGGUGGAUAGACUACCUCCCAGGAGCCUUUGCUGGUGGCCCACUGGUGGCCCUGCAGACACGAGGCAACAGACAGCCCUCCACCAGAGGAGGGAGGUGACCAACAGGCUCAGAAUGUUCCUUUCACUAUUUUGAAGACGCAAUAGGGUGCCCUCACACAUGGGCUGAUCAGCCAUCCAACUAAAUAGUUUCAGAGAGACGUAUCAGAAAGAACAUGGUAGGAGGUGUAUGUAAAGUCAAGUAUUUUAAAAUUACACAUUAUUUCUGCAUGUUCCAGGCAAACCACUGGGACCCAGGAGAGCCUCUGCUUUCUAUCAUUUGUUUUCACUAUGAGCGUUUGUGGGGGAGAAUGUGCUUCCCCCGAAUUGCUGAAUUAAAAGAAAUCAAUUAUUAAGUCAGAGGACCAACCAGUCACUGUUUUCUCCUGGUGUGGAACAUGAAGUGCUCUUUAAAACGUUGCCAAUUGUUUCGGUGACUUGUGACUUACAGGAUGUCAAUUUGUUUCCCUGUCUGGGUUUGGCAGUUUGCACAGGAGUAGGAGAAACUGUGGUACCUUGUCUCAGAGGACUGGAGAGGUUCUUCUGUUACUACUGCAGAGGGCUUGCUGUUGGAUCCCUUGGAGCCAGGAAGGGAAUGAAGCAGGUUGGGGAAAAAAGCAAUUAUAGUAACAAUACCCUUGAAUAGAAAUUUGAUUGUAUUUAGAUAGGUACAGAGAUGUUUUUUAUAAAUCAGACAAAGUGGUUAUGAUUUUUAAAUCUCAGAAUUUAUUUUUAAAAAUUCCUUUUAUCUUCAACCUUUAAGUAAAAAUAAAUAGCAUUAACACCUAUUACCAUGUGUCUUGGAAAAAACAAUGGUUGCUAUUCCCUUGGUGUGACAGCCACUUAUUUAGCCAGUGAGUAAUUCCCAGGGCUGGGGUGACUUCAUCAAUGAAUCUAAUGCACAAACAAAAACAUCCUUCACUCGUGUCUAAAAAAAAGUAAUUAUUGUGUUAUGUUGAUAGUAAAAUCAGCCAUCAGUUGUGUGUGUGUGUUGUGUGUGUGUGUGUGUGUGUGUGUGUGUGUGUAUGCUGUGUAUACUCAGACCUGAGGACACCUUUAUACUUUAAUGCUUGUGAACCAGAAACUGUAACCAAAAGGGGGAAGGACUGUAUACAACUACAAGAUUUCUUCUUGUGCUUUGUAGCAGUGAUGCAUGUGUUAAAUCCAUAUCAGAUAUUCUUACCAUGUUGAACUGGCAAAUUUACCCCUUGGAAAUUUUCUAAUAUCACAAAAUCUUAAUAGACAGUAGUGUUGCCUUAUCCAGUGAAGGUAACAGUACAGAUUUUAGGUUAAACAGGUUUCCUUUGAUCUCCCAAGAAAUAGCUGUAAAGUGUAGAAGUAAAAAAUAAAAAAUUAAAGAAAACCCAAGCAAACCCCAAACUUUCUUUUUAUCCAAAUUCUGCUAUUUGUACCAGUCAUAUUUCAUAAGAUUUUCGUUGUUGAUGAUGUGUAAAUUGAAGUAUUUCUGAGAUUCGGACCUUUUCUCCUUCAUGCUGUCCCACAGGCCUGUGCAAUGCUGUGCAUAUUCUGUCUUUAUUUUUUUCAGUAUAGCUGUGCAUAUUCCGUUCAUACUGUUAUCUUAGGGGCUGGGGAUUUAGCUCAGCGGCAUAAGCACCUGCCUUGCAAGCAGGCUGUCAUGAGUUCGAUCCCUGGUACCCAUAAAACAAAAACAAAAACAACAUACUGUUAUCUUACAUUUACAUUUUAAAAACCUUUUCUUUUGCAAGAAAGAAACGGGAAGUGAAAAUAUUUUGAAGGCCCUUGCUUUUCCAAGAGAAUGAUUUCUCACUGUGUCACCUGUGUGUGGAUCCCUAUAGAGGAUCCACUCAGGCAGCUCUUGCAUCAGAACAAUAUGGUUUGCCUGUGCUUUCCUCAGAGAGAACAUCCUCGAUUCUGCUUUUGAUGAUUCCCAAGUUGAGGUCUUAAAUGAGGCUGUAUAUGUAGAACUGCUAAAAUUUUGCCUCAUUUCAGCUACGCAGUCCUGUAGGUCAUGUCAUUCACUCUCUGUAAGCCAGGCACCAGAGUAAACUAGAAAUAUCUGACUGUGUUUGUGACUGGUCAUGUAAAUAAUGGUCUCAGAUUCAGCCAACCAUCUAAAAUACUAUUUUAGUUGUGACCAGUUUUUAAGUUUUUCAAGCAGUUUAAAGCACUCGCAGAUUGAUCUUGAAAGGUCUGGUAUAAUAGUUAUUGUAAAAUUGCUAUGUGUGUAGUUUUAUUGUGCUAUUAUUUGUGCUGUUAUUUUCACUGCAAAGCUUGCUUUCUUUUUCAGUGAUGGACUUUUUCUAAGGGAUAGACAAAAGGAUGUUCAUGGAUUUAUGUAGGAACAAAGAGAGGAUAAGCUUCUAACCUGGGGGAGUAGUAGAUGUUUUUCUCCCUUUCUGAGCUCUGGCCCUAGAAUGGAGCAAUCCUCUGUGGAUGCUCCUCAAUGAAAUGUGACACUUAGUCGUGCUCAGGAGAUGUGACAUCUCUCGUGUCAUUUUGCUGCCAGCUGUGUGUCAGCACACCUGUGCUUUCUUUGGUAGGCUGUGAUCCUUACUAUGAGCAAACCCUCGCCUGAUUGUGUUGAUAAAUUAUGCAUAUGGAGACUGCAUUUUGUCUUCCAUCUAAUAACCACCUGAUUUUAAUAGUGAUGAAAUCUGAGUGGAUUCUGUCUCCUUUUUAUUUGUAUCCCUGUUCAGUACUAACUCCUGAAUGAUUUCUUAUUUUUCUUGGUUUCCUCCUCUGGCUGUUUUAUUUGCCUGUACUUAAAUACUUGUAUAGCUUGGGGAUCGUCUUUUCUUUUACAUUCUUCUUGGGUCAUCUCUGCCACAUCCCUGUGUCAAACACAGCUAAUUGUGUGUGUGUGUGUGUGUGUGUGUGUGUGUGUGUGUGUGAUGUAGUUUGCUGCCUUUUAGAUACAACUCAGUUGCACAGACAUUUAAAAUUGGAUAUAUCCCUCUAUUGGUAGUAGUGUAAAUUAGUAAAGCCAUUUUGGAGAACAGGACGGUGAUUCCUCCAAAAAAUGGAACACAGAAUUACGACAUGAUCCAGCAAUCCUAUCAGUGUAUAUAAAACCAAGGAGAAUGGAAUAAUUAUAUCAAAGGGAUGUUUGCACACUCAUCUCUGUUGCAGUAUCGUUCACAACAGUCAAGCUGUAUAAUCAAUCGAGAUGCUCCUACUGAUGAAUGGAUUUACAAUGUGGUGUGUAACACAUGAUCUUAAUUCAAUCAUAAGAAAGGAUGAAAUCCAAGCCAGGUAUGGUGGCACAUGCCUGUAAUCCAAGCACCCUGACAGACUGAGAUAGAAGGAUCACAAGUUUAAACUUAGCCCGUCCAACUUAGUGACUUGGCAAGACCCUGCCUCAACAUAAAACAAAGCAAAAUAAAAUAGGAUGAAAUUUUGUCACUUCCAACAAUCUGGAUCUAGUUAGAGGACAGUGUGUUAAAUAAAAUAAACCAGGUGUAGAAAGACAUAUACCAUGUGUUUUUACUCAUUUGUAGGAACUUCAAGUUGGUUUCAUGGAAGUAGAGACUCGAAUACAGGUCCCUGGAGGGAGGACAGUGAGAGGAUAGAUUGUGGAUACUGAAGCAGAGUUCGCGGUGGGCUAAGGGGUUUAAAGUUGUCCUGUUAUAUAGCACCGUGGAGCAACUGUAGUCCACAACAGUUACUUGUCUAUUUUAAAAAUACUGGAAGAAAAUUGAUUGAGGGUUUCCAACCAUAGAAAUGAUGAAGAUGUCUGAGAAGGUGGACGUGCUCGUCAUCUUGAUUUGAUACACGUUGUAUGCACACACUGAGUUAUAGCGCUGUACCCACAAAAGUGUACAAAAAUUAUGUCAAAAAUAUUAAAUAAUAUCUACAUGUAAAAAUGUCUCAAUUCAUUUCAUAUGACAUGUAUAAAAAUAUAUGACAUACAGGAAUAAAUGUCGUAAAUACAGAGUAUCUGUGGAGUUUCAUGAAAAUUUUUGCUCCUUAUGUUUUGUUGAUAUUAACCCAAAUCAUUAAACUUCAGUAUUGAAAUGUAUUGAUAGUACAAAGACAAUUUUUUUAAUAAAAAGUAAACUUUUGUGGAAAAUGGUUUAUAUAUCCAAUCAAGAUCUCAUCAGUUUCCCUUUUUCUUCCCUCCCCUGGUGGGGGUGGGUGGGGAGGAAUGUCUAGCACGUGAGUUUUUGUUUAUGUUCUUGACCUCUGUGAAGAUGAAAAUCUAGAAACCAACCUCGAAACCGUCCAUCGGUGUCAUUCCCCGUCUAUUUGGUGGUCACUGUUGGCAUUCCUACUAUCUUAUAGGUAAAUGGAUGCAACUUGAGACCAUAUUCAUAAGUGAAAUAAAUCAGACUCGCAUGAGUAAACAUUGUGUUGUCUCUGUAGUGUAAAAAACUGAAAGACUAAAUAUGAUCCAAAACGUAGAAUAGAUAUUCUGACCAGUGAAAGAGGAAGAAA
Molecule: long non-coding RNA, 50211 nt
Organism: Cavia porcellus (domestic guinea pig)
Lineage: Eukaryota; Metazoa; Chordata; Mammalia; Rodentia; Caviidae
Exons: 2
Source: RefSeq, a predicted model, not a curated record